CUCCACGAAGUAUGACGAGUUCUUGUUUUGCACGUUGAUCAUCUGCUCGUCUACCUCCUUAGUCGACAUCUUCCCCCGGAACAUCGCGGACGCCGUCAGGUACCUCCCGUGCCGCGGAUCCGCCGCGCACAUCAUGUUCUUUGCGUCCCACAUUUGCUGCGUCAGCUCCGGAACCGUCAGCGACCUGUACUGCUGGGACCCCCUAGACGUCAGCGGUGCAAAUCCCACCAUGAAAAAAUGCAGACGAGGAAAUGGGAUCAAGUUCACCGCCAACUUUCUCAGGUCAGAGUUGAGCUGUCCGGGGAAACGCAGGCAGCACGUAAUGCCGCUCAUCGUCGCAGAGAUCAAGUGGUUCAAAUCUCCAACUGCACAAAGCAGAGAGAGAGAUUCACGGACAGCACUGAAACAAUAGAAGGCAUCCUGAGGACGCUCAAGUAAGGGUAUCCCUCCAAGAGAAUCUAAGAACAAAACAAAUGCACUUAAGUGGAAUAACGUCAGGCGAAGAUAAGAGCUUACAGGAGGGAGUAAUGAGCUUCAGUGUCCUAAAGCAAAUGUCGUACAGAGCCUCGUUGUCCAGCACCAUGCACUCAUCAGCAUUUUCUACUAACUGAUGUACCGACAGGGUGGCAUUGUAUGGCUCAACCACGGUAUCCGACACCUUAGGAGACGGGAACACUGAGAAGGUAAGCAUCAUCCGGUCGGGAUACUCUUCUCUGAUCUUAGAGAUGAGGAGGGUUCCCAUUCCAGAACCAGUUCCACCUCCUAAACUGUGGCACACCUGGAAACCUGAGGUUACAGAGAGAGAAGGUCAGCACUCGAUUUUAUGGACAAUUUUGCUAGAACGUAGUCGUCAUAGACGACAAGACCGGGGAUCCACAGCACUGUCCCCCAAGGAGGCGGCGCAUCGCUAAGACAAAACCAUCAACCAGGCAGAGUACACAGAGCGCUCCACAAACCGACGAGAUGUCAAUGCAUACCUUGCAGGCAGUCACAGCUUUCGGCCUCCUUGCGCACGACGUCCAGAACGGAGUCGAUUAACUCAGCUCCCUCAGUGUAAUGCCCUUUCGCCCAGUUGUUUCCAGCACCAGUCUGGCCAAACACAAAGUUAUCGGGGCGGAAGAUCUGUCCGUAAGGACCAGACCGCACGCUGUCCAUAGUCCCAGGCUCCAAAUCCAUCAAUACCGCUCGAGGCACGUAGCGACCACCGCUGGCCUCAUUGUAAUACACAUUGAUGCGCUCCAGCUGCAGAUCAGACGUACCCUGAUACGUCCCAGUGGGGUCGAUACCAUGCUCCUCGCACACUACCUCCCAGAACUUCGCUCCGAUCUGGUUCCCACACUGCCCUCCCUGAAUGUGCAGGAUUUCCCUCAUCUUCGCUAAGGAUGAUCUACAACGAGAACGAAGAAACAAAGACGGCAAACCGUCCCUCGAGCACUGAGACGCUGAACAAAAGGAGAGAAGAAGACGUCCCUGGGGGCACACUGAGAAGAGAUAUGCCAGAGAGAUAGAUAAAAGGAGGAGCCCGCCCUAGGGCUUUGGUUCCUGCCCACGAACACUUUCUGCCCAUCGUUGGAUCGAGCAUCUUACGCUUCAACUUUCUCAGGCAGACAAGUAAAUUCCAGCUCAAGAGCUGCCAGUCAAAUUCCAAUCGUAGGCAAGGUACAAUUCCCACGCAAAGCGUCUGCGCCGUUGGAUGGCGGGAUCGACGGCACGAAUGAGAUUAUAGCUGGCGUUGAAUCACACUCGUUGCGUAGGCCUAGCAUCGUUGGAUUUCUCCAGAUCCUACAACGUGGUAAAACUCUUGCUCUCAGUAAUAUUCCUCCCUGUAAGUCACUUUAGCCGACCGCCUUGCAUGAGGUAAAAAACAAAAAGAAUUGGACAGAAGAGUGAAAAAAGCCCAUACUAAUCGAAGCUCUAGCGUUUUGAUUUAUUUUUUAAAUUCAAAUUCGGGCGACGGGACAGUUUCCUAACCGUUCUGCGCCCAUCUGAAAAGCUAAAGGAAACUCCGUCGAGGUUUGAAAUUUGAAAUUUAAACAGUGGAUUCAAAUUUUACGCCCCUACGGCUGGUCGUGGUUUGCAACAGUUCUUCGCCAGCCAAUCAAUACAUUGGCAAUGGAUAUAUCUGUCCACUGUUUCUGAAUCCAGUGCCGCCGCUUAAAAGUUCUUACCUCGGGGGUACUUUACACAAAACACAUGCCUGCCCCCCCAGAUACCUCGGCAUAUCCUUCUGCCUGGGCAUAUGUAGUCGACGCUCAUUUGGAAAAUAACAAGUUCCACUCAUAGCACCUGCUCUUGGUUGGUCAGUUGGGGAUCCCUUAAUGUUGAAUAAUGUGGAAUGACUUUUGGAUCUGUCUACGAGUGCAUUGAUGGUAGCAAUCUGGAAGAGUUCCACGGGCAUCUCGACCAGCGUGUGCCUCCUCCUAAUGUUGCAAAUAUGAAGACUAGAGGGAUGGACAUCGCUAACUUGUGUUAUAGCCUCUGAGUUAGAGCGACAUAGACGCGGCGUUGUGAAGUUCAGAAGUAGCGGUGCGCGAACAACCUGUUCCUCGAAGGCUCCACGUCUGGAUUUUUCGUAGACUGCCCAAACACAAUCAAUUUAAAAGCUCGGUGAUCACACCAUACAUUUCGGAUUAGUGGGAAUUUUGCAAAGCACAAUAAGUUAUGAGUCACUGAAAAAACCUAUUUUGUCGAGAAGAUUGGAAUGGAAAGAGGCUCAAACAGAUUUCCUAAUGAAGUGAAGACAACUAAGUCCCACGGAAAUUCUACAUCACGGGGCUUGAAUAAUUAGAUAUGAAUUGUGUAAAUGAGCAGACAAACUUAGAACCCGAAUGUAAUGUAACAAUUAAUUCCUAAUUAAGCCCCUCUACAAUGGGAAGUAGUAAUCAGCAUGAGCUCUAACAGCUAUUUUGAAGGAUGGAGGAUUGACAAACUUCCAGUGGUGCAAUGAGCAUCAAAGUCAAUGUUCAUGAAAUAGAACAAAAAUACACAACAAAAUAGUGUGUAUUAUUCUUGAUAUGCGUGCGCUUAUCCCCACAUGUUUUCUGCUUUAUGGUGUUUCUACUUUAUUACUAUUAUUCUUAUCAUCGUCGUCAUUUUGUUUGACUGGUCUCAACAUUACUAAAAUGUUAAUAAUCUUGUUUUUAAUUACGACUUAAACUCUUACUCAUUCACCCAUUAUUAUUAUUAUUACCUUUACAACAAGAUUUAUCCAGAACCUUCAUUUUCACUUUUUAAAACUAUACGUACAUACGUACAUAAUACCAACCUGGCCAAGCUAUAAGUCGGCUCAGCUCACUACUUACCUCAUGUUUUGAAAUAUCCAUGGAAACUCAUGUUUUUAGAUCGAUAUAAAUGCUUUUAUUGUGUAACAUUUUAAUACUUACAAGUCCAAUAACCUGGUUUUUCAUUCACAGACUACAGAUGAAAAACCAAGUUAUGAGAAUUGUAAUUACAUUGUUGAAUUGCAGAAUUAUUAUGCAAUUUCUCAAUUACAAUAAAAUUGAAAUUAAAUUGCACUUUGAAAAAUAAAAAAAUCAACAUUAAGCAAAACAAGAGAAAGGUACUUAUCUUACAUUUUACAUUUUCUUACAUUUAUUGAAUCCAGGAGUAAGAAGUGAUCAUUUCAUUAUUUAUUUACUUAUAUUAAAAAUGAUCUACAUAAAAAACAAAUGUUUCUUUUACAGUGUAAAGUAUGAGAAAACAUUACCUAUAAAAAAGACACUUUUAUUUCAAAACAUGUUAUUACAUCUUUAUUUAUUUUAAAACAAUCUCUCCUUCAAAAUGUGGAUAAGGAACCUGUUGAUGAUUUGAAUCUAAAGUAAACGUAAAAAAACAUCUGCUAAACAAUACCUCUGCUGAAAAACUUUUCUCAACAACAUGAUUUAAUACAUACAUACAUACAUACAUGGACUACGUUCUCUACGUACUUUAGUAGUUCUCCUGAAAGGUAACUGAAGCAAAGCUUAGCUUCAUAAAUUGACAUACUCAUACGAAUUCGAAGCUCCAGGAUAAGUAUACAGGUCCAUGAUACAAAACACGGAAAAUGAAUACCCGUACCCAAUCCGAAUGACAACACUAAGAACUGAAGACCACUUUGACACACAUACUCAUAUCCAGAUCCAGGCUGUGUUACGAUACCCGGGUAUACACCCGAUCUGAGGCAGAGAGGGACGAGGCAAAACCGAAGGGACAAAACGUGGGACGCCCAUGUGGGGAGUGGCAGUGAGGAGUGGUAAUGAGGGGCUCGCCGCGCAGCUCACAUGCGCGCUGGGGUGACUCUGCCGCGAGGAACGGUGUCUCUCUUUCUCUCUCUCACUUUCGCAAUCUCGCUCUGGCAAGACGUUACUGGAGAUUAGCGAGACAAGCGCAAAAGAGUCCACUCGUAGCGAGGACCAUGCCGCAGCGGCGAUGCAUCCGGCAUUCAUUGCCCUGGUUGAUUAGCAGGAAUGGAUAGCCCUCGUGGGGGGGGGGGUUCACCAUCUCAUUAUUUUGGGGUGAUUCACUUCUUUUACUGGGAUCAAAAGCUUCCGACCGCAUCAUGGAGCAUGAUGUGAUGUGUUUCUUUUGGAUCGACUGAUAUCCACGGCCUCCGCACCCCACUUUGGCUCAAGCUAACAUUCUACGUAUUUUUUCACAUGAAUCAUAUGGAGCGGUCAUCCUACCCGUUUCGUACAAUGAUUCGCGGUUGGGACCGUGGAAUUACACGCUUUCCUAAUUUCCAGCGCAUCGACAUAUCCAUUUAGAAUGAAAGCAUGGUGCAGAAGAGUGAGUGUUAAAAUAGAGAAUCGCUUUCUGGGGGUUGGGGAAAGGUGUGCAUUUGCUCCCUGCUUGUCGUUCGAAUGCUGCGUGGGUCCGCGAGGCUGCAACAGUCUAACCCGGUUUGAUUACGGUUCGAUACAAGGCUGCAGUGAUUAAAGGUCUGGAUAAGGCUAGCUCUCGAGAAGCUCCUGGAUGAGGCUAGCUAGGAUUUGAGGAAUUCGGUCACUUGGCCGAGUGUGUAGUGGAUUGCAAUGUUUCGCAGUGAAACAGGGGGGAGAAGUCAGGUCGGUACCGUUUCGUCAGACCAGAUGCAUGUUACUGUGACAGGCACUUGACUGGAUGUGAGUGAAACGUUUUGCAGGCCAUGCGUACGAAAUCCUGCUGACACAGAUUUGUUUAUGAAACAUUCACCAAGCAAGGUCGGUAGUGGGAGCCCAUAUUGCGAAUAUCAAGCUGCAAAGGCAAAGUGCGUCAUUGUUGGAGAAAAAAAUGGAGUGAAAGUCCUUGGUUAUGUGCGAUUUUUGAAAAUUGACAGAUACCAGAUAAUUAGUGGACGAGGAUUAUGUUAGUGGCCAAUUCACUCUUAGUUCUAUGUCGUAUGUACAAAGUCAGCUGAAUUAACAUACCGUGAUCUAAGUGGUCACCCACAAAAAGUGCUGUUGCCUGUGCGAUGCUACUUGAAAACCCAUGUCAAGGAGAGUUGGAAAGUAAUGAAUGAAAUUUUUGCUGGCUGUAGUAACCUGGUGAACCCUCACCGGCACAAGUAAAUAAGGGAAGGAUUUUGGAGUCACCAGUCAAUGCUGAAUUGGACUGAGCCAAUGGCUGCCGACGGACAUCCACGUUCUGCUAAUGCAUGUUCUGCUUCACGAGUCAGGAGUGGAAGCCAGCAGCGACAGACUGCAAAUCAUGAGUGUGUAUGUGCUGAGAUGAUGCAAGCUUUCGAAAGGGCCGUGCCUCCCUGCCAUGUCCUACCAGAUAGUUUCCUCGGCUUAGGAUUCGCUGAGGGGAAGCUUGACAAGGUGCCGUUUGUCAGGGACAUCUGAUGCCGUCCUCUACAGUGCAGGGCUGAACAAGAAAUUCGUCAGUCAGCUCAUUAUGCUUACCUCAAUCACUUGUGCAUUUUCAUGGAGAUAGAAACAUCAACAAGAAGAGAAUGGAAGAACCCCAAACAUUAACGGUCAGAAAGCACAGUGACGAAAGCAAGCUUCCUUUAAAGCUAAAUCAUGUUCACCACAAAGUUCUGUACUGGCACAUGCUGAGAAGAUCUGGUUUCUUCAUGUGCUGUGACAGCAAUAUUUACAGUCGCGGAGAGGGGCACAAACCAAAUGAAAGCUCUCCACCACCAGAUCACGUACGCCAUGUGAGUGAGUGGGAGCAACAGUGUCCCUGAAAGGAUGUUGAAGCUUUGCAAUGCUCAAAGACAGCACAUAACCGCAAACAUCUAGACUCAGAAGGAAGCUCCAUAACAACGCCCGAUCACGAUUCUUGUAAGAUUACCAUGGGUGUCAAGUUCGAAUCACACCUCCACUACAAUCUACCCCACAUACAUUCCACCACCUACAUUCGCAGCAGCAGCAAUAAUAUGCCACAGAGAUUACGAUUAAGAGUCUUUGGGUGAUACAUUCACAGAAUCCACAACGCAUGUUAUCAAAGUGAUUAUAAAACCAGGAGCAAGAAUGGCAGCAAGACUAACAUCAUAUAAAUGGCUCGCAAACACAUGGAAGCAGACUGUGGAAGUUCCGGAGAGCAGCUACCCACCCAUCAAUCUUUGUCAACCACGAGAAACCCAUACAUUUUCACGCUAGGAAUACUACAAGUUAUGUAAGCACCUAAAAGUGAAGUGGGUUCAUAAUCAGGUGAUGUUUCCUUUGAGAAAAAGCACAUUGUGAAGGCUAUCACAAGGUCUCACAAUGCAGGAAUUCUUCACAGUAGUUGAUAAUGAGCCACGAAUAUAACUCACAAAGAGGGUACCAGACUCAGUCUGCAUAAGUCAAGUUGGUCAUAGAAGCAAGAUCAUUCAUUGUGAAGGCAAAUCCUGUACCUCACAAUGAAUGAUAAGAAUAUAACAACAGUACAACAUAUAAGGCACAAGACUGCGUCUGCCUUAGCGUGCUUUCUAUUUGACCGAGAAUUCCGAAUCAUCACAAUUUUGUUUUGAAGAUGAUUUGUUGCUGUUGUUAGCCAAUUGCUUACACGAGAAAAUGUUAUAUAAUUUUGUAAAAAAGAUAGUUCAGGUUAUAUAAGUAUCUACUGCUUAAGUACUUUCUAACUUGGAUAUAAAUAAAUAAAUAAACAAACAUGAAAUGAGUGUGUCUUUAAUAAAAAGAGGUAAUUGAUUUUACUUGGCAAAAAGAACAACAAAGAAAUUGAUUUAGUGGAUUGAUGUUUUUACCUAAAAUUUUACUACUUCUACCCAACAUCAUGUUGCACUCACCACAUUGUUGUUGUGGUUUUGUGACUCAUUACAUUUCAACAACUUUACUUGACUGUUUUGGAAGAAAAAUUUGCAUUAUCAUGAGACCCCUAACCGAUGAGUUGUAGUAAAGGUAUAUGUAUCAAACCCUAUUGCCAUGUACAAUCCCUACCAUCUUAAAUUCCAUUUCCAACACAGACAAAGGCCCACUGUGUUGGGACAUGGAUCAAAAUGAAUUUGCUUUUGAACAAGUAAUAAAACCACAAUAAUAGCAACAAUGUGGUAGACACAAUACAAUGUUGGAUGAAAAUAGUAAGAUUUGAGGUAGAAAUAUUAAUUCUCUAAAUUCUUAAUACAAAAAAUAAUAUCUUUUUGACCAAAAAUAUACAUAGAAUUUAAAUGAUAUUUUAUAAGAUAUACAAGUAUAGAUGUUUUAGAAGCAAAAGAUAAUUGAAAAGCAAAAUUUGGAUUUAUAAACUAAAUAAGUAGAAGUAAAAUUACAUUUAAUUUUAUUUUAAGAUAUUUAUAAGUUGAAAACAAAAAAGGUUUUGUUCUUUACUUGUAAAAUAGUACCAUGCAUAAAUGUAGUUUUAAAUUUAUUUUAUUUUGGAACUAUAAUGCAUAAAAAUAUACAAUUCUUUAAUUUUUAUAUACUUUAUAAUAAUUAGAGAAAAUUUGAAUAAAAAUUUAUUAAUUUAUUGGUCUCAAAAUUCUUACUUAUUUAUACUUUUUUGCAUGUUUCAACAUAAUUUAUUUUAAAUUAAAUAAAUCAAUUUACUUGUAUUAUUUUAGAGUAUUGAAAAUAAUAUCAAUGUUUAUAAGAUCUAAAAUAUUUUAAAGAAGUUUACAUAUAAAAGUUUAAUUAAGAAAUUUAUUGAGGUUUAAAAGUACUCUUAUUAAAUUAUGCAUUCUUGCAAAAAAACUUAAAUGCAUAAGACACAAACUAUACUCUUAUAAUAUUCUUUGAAAUAUUUUGUCCUAAUAUGCAUGCAAGAUAUUUUAAAGACCAAGUUUAUAUGCAUAUUUUAAUCUUAAAAAUUUCCAAAUAUUUUUUUAAUGUAUUUACAUAAAUUAAUAUAUAUUUAUUAUGACCAAUUUUACCAAAUUAUUACUUAUUAUGUUCUAAUAUUUUUAAUCUGAUAGAAUUCUUUUUUUAUAUGGAUAUAAAAAUAUAAAAAAUAUAUAUAUAUAUAUAUAUAUAUAUAUAUAUAUAUAUAUAUAUAUAUAUAUAUAUAUAUAUAUUUACACACACAUAUAUACAUAUAUAAUUAAUUGCAACAACAUUAGAAAUUUUUACAUUAUGUAUAAUCUUUUGUUUAAAAACAAAUUACAGUAAGAAAUAAAAGAAUUUAGAUUCAAAAGCAUUAAAGGCUUUAGAGAAAAUAAUCAUAUUUUUUUUAUAUGUUUUAUAUUUAAUAAAUAAAAAAUAUUUUAUAAUUUUCAAAUAAUUUAUUGAUAUAAUUUGAAGACAUCACUUGUAAUGAUUAGAAUAAUAAAUUUCUAAUUUUUAUUGUUUGAUAGUUUUAUUCUGCUAUCAAUGAAACUGUAGUUAUUUAAUAUCAUAUGGUUUAGAUUAAUAAUUUUUUUAUGACCAUUAUAAGUUUCAGAUAAAACUAUACAUGAUUUGAUAGUAAAUUAAAAAUCCCAAACCAAUUGCAUUUUUAAAAGAACUGCAAUAACAAAAUUUAGAAAUUUUGAUAGAAUAUUGCAUAAUAUUUUUAAGAAUAUUAUAUAUUUAUUUUUAAAUUUAUUUGUACAAGUCCAAACCAUAAUCAAUAAUUUUUUUUACGUUUUAUAUUGUUUUCUUAUUAUCUAUAUCAGCACUGCAAAAUUAACAGUAUCUUAACUUCAAAUUAAUACAACUGGAGAACUGAGUAUCCACCCAUGUAUCAUAGAAAUCUUUAGUUUUAAAUUGCAGAUCCAUUUUAUUUUUCUUUUUCUUUUUUUAAUUUAAAAAAGUAGGAAUAAAAAAAUUAAAUUCAUAAUCUGAAAUGAUUUUUAUUCACAAAAAAAAUGUUGUUUACUACUGAUUUCUUGUUGUCGGAAAUUUUAGGAUUUCAUAGUUUGAUAUUUUAUUUUUAGACUUUUUUUAACUGUAUGAAAAUUCAAAAGUCAAGUAUGAAUUAAAAUUAAGAUUAAAAGAGAUUUCUUUAAAAUCUAACAAUGUAAAUUUUACUUUGAUUCUAUUUUAGAACAAACUUUUGAUUUUUUUGAUCUAAAAAAAAGGUUCUUCAAUUUUCAUCUAAUCUUUUUCAUACAAUCAAAUGUUGUUGAAAUUAUUUUUUUAUAUGUAUGUAUAUAAAUUUUAAAAAUAAAUCAUAUAUAUUUUAAUCUUUGUGUUAGUAACUUAUGUCUAAAUACCAGUAAGACGGCAAAGUAUAUGGGCUUUACUACAACUUUUUUUUUUUUUUUUUUUUUUUUUUUUUUCUAUCUUUAGUUUCAUUCAAAGAAAAUCAAAUUUUUUAAUACUGAAAUAAAUAGGUGUUUAAAAUAAGAGAUUUAGCUUAAAAUUACAAGUUCUUAGUAUAUUUAAAAUAUUAGAUUUAAUUUAUAUAUAUAUAUAUAUAUAUAUAUAUAUAUAUAUAUACAAAUAUCUGCAUAUACAAAAAAAAAGGUUAGAAUUUUUUUUAUAAUAACUUAUUUAAUUAAUAAAUAAUAAAAAUAAAAUUACAUUACAUAAUUUUUUUAAAAAAGAAGAAUUAUGCUAAUGCACAAAUGUCCAUACAUUGGUAUCCUUCAUAAACGUUUUAAAAUAUUAAUAAAAAUAGAAAAUUAUAAAAAAUAAGUAAAAAAUAACAAUUUUUUAAAAUUUUGAUAUUACAUUAGUAAAAUAAACUUGGUUAUAUCACAAGUAUAGGAUCUUUAUAUUCUUCAUAAAUUUUAAUGAAAAUAAUACCAAAAAUAUAAAUACUAUUAUUUACAAGAUAAAGAGUAAAUUAUAGAAAAUAAUAAUAAUAAAAUAAUUGCUUAUGUUUUUAUUUAUAAAAAAUGAUUUUCUAAUCAAGAAAAAAUAAGUAAAAAAAUUUAAGUAUUUAUCUAUUUUUUACUAUAAUUUAUUAUAUAAACCAUUAAUUAUAGAUUUUUUAAUAUCUUAUAUUUUUAGGCAAUUUAAAACUUUAAUCUUAAUUUUUUUUCAUAACGUUAAUAAAUUUAAGCUUUUAAAAAUGAUAUUUAUAUUAUACAUUAGUUUUAUUUAUAAAUUCAAUUAAAUUAUGAAUAAUUAUAUUUAAAGCUAAUUUAUACUUUAUGUAAUAUAUAUGUAUAAAAAUAAAUAAAUAUUUAUUAAUAAAAAUAAAAACAUAAAAAUUAUAUUAUAGAAAUUAUUUAUUAUAAUAAAAAAUUAAUAUUUUAUUUUAUUUUAUUAUUAUUAUUAUUAUUAUUAUUAUUAUAUUAAAUUAUUUUUUAUUUUUAUAUUAAAAAAUCAUAAAGCUAUAAUUUGAUUUAUAAAUAAUUGAUUAUUGUCUCUAAAUAUAAUAUAAUGGAGAAUAUUACUUCAUAUUAAAAAAUUAUUAUAAUAUAAUUUUUAUGUUUUUAUUUUUAUUAAUAUACAAAUAAAAAAAAUUAUUCAAAAUACAAUUCACGUCACAAGCAUAUUCUUAAUUGCUACACAUACAUCCAUUGUCAAGAAUAUUAAUUAUAAAAAAUCAAAGGAUUAGUACACUCUUAUGUUAAAAAAGAAUAGAUAUUCACUCAAAGAUGAUAUAAUAUUAAGCCUAUAAUGGCUAUUGCUAAAGACAAGAAGACUAGAAACUCUUAAAAUAAGAUUAAAAAUACAAAAAGUAUUGACAAGAAUGAGGAAGGUCUCAUCUUUGCCUCCAUAUAUACUAUCUAACUAGGAAAUACAUAGCAAUGCUCUAUAAGACUCCUAAUACUUGUACAACUUACAAAACACAUGUUUAACUUGCAAAAUAAGUUUUUUGCGUAGAAAACUUCUAUUACAAGUGGCCAACUUCUUGGCCAAAUUUUCAACCUAUCAAUCACUUAUAGCCACAUGUAAAUUCAAAUCUUUAUUUUUGAAGUAUAUAAGAAGCUUGUCUAUGAGAUAUUAUCAAAUUUACUAACUACUAAUUAUUUCUAUCUAAUUCCUUUAAUCUAAGUAAAUAUAUAUGUCCAUGAUAUUGUUCCCUCUUCUAAGAACAAGUUUCAUAAGAAGUCGUAUUAUAUUAUAACAUAGAGUGAAAAAGAAAAGAAAAAAUUAUAUAAAAAAUAAUCUUAUUUCAGAUUAUAUUAGCAAAUUAUCAUAAAAAGAUAGAUGAUAGUCAAGGAGGUAGUAAAAUGAAUAAGUGAUAAUAUUAUUUUUUUACAAAAUAGGCUUUUAUUUAUUUUGAAGGAUUAAAUAUAAGACAAAAAUAAAAUAUAUUAUCAAAAUUAAUAUCAUAGAAUCUUAGAAUAGAAAUAAAUAAUAUCUUUCAAUAAAAGUUAUUUAGAAAAAUUAGAUACAUCAAAAAAAAAUUAAACUUGAAUUAGAAUUAAAUUCUAAUAUACAAAAAUACUUCUUUAUAAUGAAUAUGGAAUUUUUUCGUUAAUUAAAAAAAUAAGAAUCAAAAAGAAAACUAUAGAAAAAUUCAUUGGAAGUUCUUUUUAAAUGAUUUGAAUUCAGAAUGACUUUAUAAGAUCUUUGUAAAGUCUAGAUUAUUUUGGAAUGACUAUGAUUUUUGAGAAAUAAAAAGUAUUUAUACUUAAGAGAAUUUUGUGAGUUUUGUAAUAGAUAUGUGGAUGAAAAUUUAUGAAUUUAUAAUCAUGGUUGUAUUAAAUGUAUGUUAUAAGUUUGAGCUUGAUGAAAUGAUUUAUUUGAAAGUUAUUAAAAUCAAAGUAGAUUGAAAUCUUAAAAAUUAAAAAUUAGAGGAUUAGUGAGGGUUUUUAAGUUUUGUAGCAAUUUGUUAAUUAGAUUAAAAUAAAAUUUUGUGCACUUAUAGAAAACUUAAUUUCUAACAAUUAUAAAAAUUUGAAAAUAUUUGGAUGAUAAAACAAGAGAUAUUAGAAUUAUUUUGUGAUAACAUGACUAUAUAAUAAAAGAUAUAUAUAUAUAUAUAUAUAUAUAUAUAUAUAUAUAUAAUAUAUUAUAUAUAUUAUAUCUUAAUUAAUGAUAAAUUAGUAAAAAAAUAAUGAUAAAUUAUAGGAAGGUAAUAAAAAUUUUAGUUUUAAUAUUAUUUUUUAUAGAAAAAACUUCUAUUUACUUUGUAGAGGCAUAAUUAAAUCAAAUCAAAAUAAAUACGAUAAGAAAUUGAUACGUGCAUGUUAAAAAAGAGUUGACAAUAAGUUAAAACAAAAUUUACUUCAAAUUACCAAAAAUUGAUAUCUAAAAAGGAUUGGUUGUCAAUCUAGAUCAAAAUUAGAUCCUUAGGUACAAAAUCAUGAUUCUAUAGUAACUCUAGGAUUCUUUUGGGAAUUAAAGAGUGGGAUUUGAUAGCAAACUUGAAAAGAGAUUUUUGAGUGUUAGUUAUUGAAGACAAAAACUUGAUGAAAAAUAAAAAUAAUAAGACUUUAUCAAAGAAGUCUGAAAAAAUAAAAAUAAAGAAGUAUGUAUAUUAAAAAGAAACUGGAAUUGCUAUAGUCAAAAGAUAAAAAAAAAUUAGAAACUUCUUAAAAAUAGAAUAGAAACAAGAAAAAAAUUGACAAGAGUGAAGAAGGCUUCACUUUUGCUUCUAUAUACUAUCUACUUAGGAGCUUCAUGGUAAUGUUCUAUAGGACCUCCAAGAUAUGUUGACUUUGCAUAAUAUGUAUCUUAAUUUGUAAGGCAAGUUUUUUAUAUGAAUAAAAUAUAAUUACCUUAUCCUACAAGCUACUAAUACAUAUGGCAUGUGGUUAAUUUGUUGACCAAGGUUCUAACUUAUCAAUCAAUUACAAAUACAUGUAAAGUCAAAGCAAUGUCUAUGAAGCUUCUAAAAAACUUUACUAAAAGAUAUUAUGAAAUUUAUUCAUUUUUAUUUACUUCUACCUAUUUAUAUUACCUAAAUUGCAACUAUAGUGAAUAUAUGUUUAUGACAUUAUCUCCCUUUUUAAAAAUGAAUUGCAUAAAGAGCAGUGAUCACAAGUUGAGAAAGUCUAAGAUGCGGCAAAUUGUAUUUGCUACGUACUUUGAUCUUUAUUCCUUUUGAAGAUAGUUGAUAGAUCCUCUCAACCAUUAAUAAUAUUCUAUUCCAAAGUAAGAAGACCAUCCUAUUAUUUGAUUAUUGUUGGAGUUCUUUAUAACUUUUUUCAAAUAAAAUAUUUAUAAUACUAUUAAGAGACAUUUCUACCUCCAAUAAAAUCAUCAAAUAUUAAGACUUCUUUUUCAAAUUUUUGAUACGAAAUACGUUGUAUCUUGCCAUCUUUUCAAGGAAAGACAAAUCAUUCUUGAAGGUCUUUAUUUCUAUUAUGUUGUCUUGAAGGUAAUGAUAAUUAUAAUGUUUCUUCUAAUAAGUCAAUAAAUGAUUGUUCUUGAGUUGAAUCUAAUGGCUGUUAGUUCUCUAUCUUCUUAAUGCCUUAAUUAUACAAAAAUUACAAAUAAAGAUAGAAAGUAGAAUGCAAUGCUUUCUAAAUUUUAUUUCUUUUAUAAUAAAGUUUUUCUAUCCUUUAUCUUGAUUUUGAUAGAUAUAAUUGAUGAAAAGUUUUUGACUUUUUUUCCUAUAUUUAUAAGAUUUCUUGCUGGCUUUCAUGUAUGUUUGCUAAUAUCAUAUCCAUACUAAUGAAUAAGAUAUUUCAACCUAAGUUGGUAUUGCCUUAAGUCUAAUAUUUCUUCUAUCUUGAAUUCUUUAUUAUUAUCUACUUCUAUAUGAGGCAAUGGUAUUUAUCUUCUUUUGGAGAUAUUCACUGUCUUACAUGGUUCGAAAAAAAACACAUGAAAUACAUGAUAUAUUUUCAUAGAUUUUGGUACAUGUAAUUUAUAAGCAACUAGAUUUACUUGUUCACAAAUAAGAAAUAGUUCAAUUUUAUGAUAAUCCAACUUAUCAUAAGAACAAAUAGUUUUAAUAUUACAAUGAAGUAAUUAUACUUUAUUAUGAAUGUAAAAAUGAUGUUGUUAUUUGCGAUAAUCAUUUGCAUUACUUUUUUCUUGUUCUUAAGCCUUUUUUAGUGAUAUCUUUCUUGUUGUAUCUAGCUCAAAUAAAUAAUUUGUCAAAUCUUUUGUCCUAAGAUUAUCAACUUUUAAAAAGUCAAAAACAUCAAGUCAUGGAUGAUAAUUAUAAUUAAUAAAGAUAAGUGUUUGUUAUAAAGAAGAAUAUAUUAUGUUAUUAUAAGUAAACUUUGUCAAUGGUAAAAUAAUUGUCCAAUCAUCUUAUUCAUAAUUGAUGAUACACCUCAAAUACUACUCUAAAAUUUGAUUUACAUACUCUAUUUGUUCAUUAGUUUGAAGAUGGAAACCCAAAGAUAGUUUUAUAUCUACCUUUAGAAUCAUGAAAAGCAUUCUUCAAAAUCUUGAUGCAAACUGAGUUCUUUUAUUUGAUAUAAUAUCUUUAGAUAAUCCAUGAUAGUAAUAGAUAUUAUUAAGGAAAAUCUUGGUUAUUUUUUUUUUACUUGUGAUAGAUUUUGUACAUGGUAAAAAAUAUAUCUUCUUAGCAAAAAAAUCUACUAUCACAAAUAUAGAGUUAUAAGAAUUUGAGACUAGAAAAUUUAUGAUAAAAUCCAUAGAAACAAAAGAUGAUGGUUAUUCUCAAAUAAAUAAUGGCUGAAAAAAGUCCAUAAGAUUGAUGAUAAGGAGUUUUUGAUCUUGAGAAAACAUCACAAAAUUAUACAAAAUCUUUGAUCGCCUUCUAUAUUUUGAAUACAAUAAUACAUUGGAACUAAUAUCUAGACAUUGGAAUUUAUAUCUAUUGCUAAAAAGUCACAACAAGCUUAAAGAACUUACAAUCAAACUUCACCUUUUAGAAUAUAUAAGUGUCUUUUAAUAUAUAAUAGAUUUUUCCUAAAUUCAAACUUCAAAAUAUCAUGAAACUUUGAAGGAUUUUCUUUAAUGCUACAAAUAAGAGGAUUAGAAGACAUAUUUGAUUAAACUUACUUAAUAAAAGUUGAAUCAAGAGUUAUUAUUGAUUUUAUUACUUGAAGAUGAAGAUGCUUUAGCUUCAAGAGAAUUUUUUAUUGUUGAUAAAAAUAGUAUUUUCUUCCUUUGGUGCAAAGUAAGAUCGUUUAAAGAGUGUGUUUGACAAACCUUAUUAUUUUCCUAGUCGAUAAGUGAUCUUAAAUUUAAAUGUUGAUAAAGAUAUAUUCUAGCAAGUUUGGUAAUAAUUUAAAAUAUGUACUGACAUAAAAUACUCAAGGUUCUUGUGAUUUGUAUACAUAAUAAUUGGACUAGAAGUAGAUUUUAAAUAAUGGCACUAUUCUUAAAAUAAAUCCAUGAUUAUAAGAAGUUCUUUGUUGUGGAGCUCAUAAUUGAUCUUGGCUAUUAAAAAAAAUUUCAAAUAAAAAGCUACUAGUAAAGUUUAUCAUUUAUUUCUAUUUAUGAUAAUACGAUAUCCAAAGCAAAAUUUGAUGUAUAUAUUUCCAUAAAAAAAUGCUUAGAAAAGACAAUACAAUAUAAGAUUAGUAUAAAAAUAAAGGCUAUUUUUAAAGCUUCAAAUGUUACUUUUGCUUCUUGAUUCUAUUAAAGUUUAUCUUUAUAAGUCAAACAUAUAAAUAGAAAUACAACUUGAGAGAAGUCCUUGAUAACAAUCCAAUAGUAGUUGGCAAAUAUCAAAAAGCAUUAGGCAUCUCUUACUAUUCUUGAAAUCUUCUAAUUUAUAAUAGUUUGAAUUUUUUUAGGAUCCAUCAUAAGUCUAUCAUUUGAAAUGAUAUAUUCUAAGAAGUCAACUUGAGCAGUGUGAAAUAUACACUUUUCUAUAUUGGUAUAGAGUCUUACAUCUCUUAGUUCUUAUAAGAUACAACAAAUAUGAAGUUUAUAUUUUUUUAUAUUUUUAGAAUAGAUUAAGAUAUUAUCUACAUAAUAGAAAAUAAAAUUAUCUAAUUUUUUUCAAAAGACAUCAUUCAUUAGAUGUUAAAAAGUUGCUGGUACAUUUAUAAGUUCAAAAGGCAUAAUAUUAUAUUUAAAAUAUUUAUACUUGAAUUGAAAAAUAGUCUUUUAUUUAUUUCUUUUUUUGAUGUAUACUAGAUUAUAUGCCCCUUAUAGAUCAAUUUUUAUAUAGAUCUUAGCUUAAUUUAGUUGAUCAAAAAGUCUAGAUAUCAAAGGUAGCAAAUACUUAUUCUUGAUGGUGAUCUUGUUGACUCUUUGAUAAUUGAUACACAUCCACAAUGAUCCAUCUUUUUUCUUGACAAAUAAAAUUAAAGCUCCUACUAGAAAUUUGAAAUGGCAUAUAAAAUUCUUAGCUAGAUUUUUUUCAAUAUAUUCUUUAAGUUUAGCCAAUUUAUUUUGUGAUAAACUAUAAAUUAGUCCAAACGAUGGUUAAAUUCGUUCUUGAAGGUCAAUUAAGCAUUCAUAUACAUGAUGUUUUGGAAGAGUAUAUACAUUCUUUUUUUCAAAUAUAUCUUAAAAAUCUUAAUAUUAGCUAGGAAUGCUAUUUGAAAUCUUUCCACUAUUAAAAAUAGAUGUGACAUAAAUGACAUAAGGUGAUCUUUCUUUUGUAACAUGCAAGAAAGCUCUUACACCUACAAAUACAAGUUUGGUUAUACUAGACUUAUGACAUUUUACUUGAUUAAUUACACUCUUAGUUAUAUUUUUAGAAAAAUCAAAACUAUGAGAAAUCCAACCUAUUUGAGGAUUUAUAAUAUGAAUGAGAAUAAUCUCUUUUAUUAGAUGAUAUCAAACUAUAUCAUUUUAUAGUAUUAGAUUAAAAGGUCCCAAAAAACAAGACAUGUUUUAUUAUAGCAUUUAUAGCUAGUAUAGAAAGAUUUAACACAUUAAAACCAUUAAUUAUUGGUCACUUUAAAAAGUUACUUUCUUUCCAAAAUAAAAUAGUAAGCAACUCAAAAUUUUAUUCUUGCCAUAAUCAAAAGUCUUAAAUAAUUGGCCUUAUUUUUUGUAAAUGGAUGGGAAAUUUAGACAAAAAAUGAAAGCAAUUGAUUGUCACAUCUUCUUCUUUUUAAACUAUAUUUUUUUCUAUGGUAUUAAUGAGGCCUUAUUUACUUAUAUAGAUGUGUUUAAUUUAACUUAAAUGCAACCUUUAAGAUUUGAGCCAUGAAUACUAAGAUCAUUCUUAUCUUUAAAUACCACUAUUGUUGCUUUCAAUUGCAAUUUAUAAUUGAGAAUGACAAGAUUGGCAUAAGAUCCAUCUACAAAAGUUUAUUAGUUUACUUCAAUGCAAUGGAUCAAAUUUAUGUAUGAGAAGAACUUUGCAAUUACUAAUUUUAAUUGCUUUCAGUACAUCAAGUUAAUUGCUAAUAAAUAAAGAUAAAUGUGACAAAAUAGAAGUUGUUUUCUUUGGACCAACUAAUACUAUAAAUAAAUAUGGUAUUAAAAAAUAAUUUUAGUAGCAAAUAGUAUAUUUUUUUAUCACAAAUUCUUUGUUAAUUAAUAUCUUCUUUAAUCUAUUAAAGAAAUUAAUGGAUUAUAUAUAGAGGUGACAAUUAACAUUAUAAAUAGUUGAUACUAGUUGAAUCAAAAGAUGAAGCAAAAAAGUAGAAAAAUGGAGAUGACGAUAGUAAAUUUGAAGUCAAAUUCUUAGUCCAAGAAAAGCUUACUUUUCUUAGUUAGACCAUUAUGUUCUUUGAUUCUACCAAAGCUACUUAUCUUAUGGCUUAUCAAGUCUUGCAAAGUCUGUAAUGUGAUAUUUGUGCUUUAAAAACCAAACAAUCUGCCAUAGAUAAUGAAAUCAAUUAUCUUUUUUAUGAAAUUUUAUUUCUAUAAUUUAAUAAUUUUUAUUUAUAAUAUAAAGUAUUACAAAUUAGAAGGUUUAAUUUAUAAUCUUGGAAUCAAAUUAGUUGAUGGAAAACAAUAUUAAAAAAGAAAUGAUAUCAAAUUAUGAAAGGUCAAUUGAGAAAAGAAUAUAUAUAUAUAUAUAUAUAUAUAAUUAAAUUUAAUAUUAUAAAUAUACUAACAAAAUAUGCUUUUAAGCCAACUUUUUAACAAAAAUAUCUUUUUUUAAAUACUAAAAAAUCUAAUUAAAAUAAUUUUAUAAAAUAAAAAAUUAUAAAAAAUUUAGAUAUAUCAAAAAAUCUAAAAAAUAUACCAAUAUUUUUAUAAAAAUAUCAAGGAAAUAAUUAAAAAAUAUAAUAUAUUUUUAGAAUAAGUAUUGUUAAAUAAAAAUUGUCUAAUAAUUUAUAAAUUAAAAUUCAACCUUCCAAUGGCUUCAAUCUUGCUUCUAUACAUAUUAAAUAAAAAUAAAUUAAAUCUCACACUUCUAAUUCCAACCUUCUAACUUACAACAAACCCAAAUCAAUUUCUUAUCCGACUUAUCCAGUAUGUAAAUAUAUGUGUGUGUACACACACACACACACACACAUAUAUAUAUAUAUAUAUAUAUAUAAUAUGAAUUCAAUUUGAAAAUGCAUGCUUAAAUUAGGGUCUGCCAAGUUGUGAGUUUGGGCUCUCAAUUUCAUGGAAGUCCCCAUUCUAUUUCGUAAUCUCAGGAUCACCUUGUUUGGUGACAGCUCACCAGCAUUUUGAAUCAACACUCCAUAUGAUGUAACAGACCAUUGUCCAACUCACACUUUUUGCAUUUUGCCUUUUCUUUUCCUUCUCUAAUCGGUGGAUAGAACACCAAAACUCAGAUCUUUGAUCCCAAAAAAGCGUGGAGGAUUUGUCAGGUGUGAGUCCCUGCGAUUAUGACACUCUCUUAAAAGACUGGAAUGAGAUUGCCGACCAUGUGCAUGACUGAACCACUUUCCGAGACUCGAUCAGAGAGGCGCAUGCUGUUUUGCAACUCCGUUUUGCCAUCAGAUACUCGCAGAACUGCAUUUUCAAAGGCCUGGCAUCGUCGUACUCCUUUGCCCACUUCAUCACUGCUGCUCUCAGCAUGCAGAAUCCUUGGAGUUUUUGCUGCUCAUGACGUUUCGUCCUCGAUCCCGUUCUCAAUGCUUGUGAUGGUGCAUCUGAUCCUCGACCAGAAUGUGAGCAGGGCUGGAUCGUAAUAAGUUUCCUGUGGGAAACAAGGUCCCAUAGGGAAAUAGGCUUGUGCACCUAGGAACUUGGUUUGAUGAUUGGGACAUGCUUCUCGGAACGAACUAUUUAUUCGAUUUCAGCAGGCUUAGGCAGGUUCUUGGUGCCAUUGAAAAUCCAGUUGCCAGUGAGAAACAUAGAGAUUAUUCGGGGGUUUUAUAUUUUCUUUCUUUCAUUCUAGUUUGAAUCGUAUAUUUGGGGUAAGAAUCGAUUUCUUAGAUGCAGCAUUCCAUUCAAGCACACAUACUGCACUCGAAGUUUUCACGAUAUGAAGAUUUGCUUCGGCAUGACGCCCUGCAGGGACAUAGCCAUCGUUGAAGCUGGGUCGAACCGAGAACACCAUUCAAUGAAAUUGUUGCAUACAACGACAUUGAGCUUGUUGGACAGCGGCCUAGAAGCCAGCAACUGCAUACCAGGCUAAGGAGGGGUGGUGAUGACAAUGCAGGGACUGAUUGCAUGGGUGCUAUUAUAUGACCAGCCUUGCACAUCGUCCUAAACCCUCUCCCAGGUAUCCAUGAUCACUAAGGAUGUUCCAACAUCCUCCUCUGCUACAAAAUCAUCCACGAAGUUUUAAUAAAACAACAAGAAGACUUUCUACUUUGAUUAACAUGUCUAUUUUGCUCAUUGGCUUCAUGUGGAGUAGAAGCAAUAUCGGCAACUUGACUGUAAAGGAAUUCACGGAAUUUUUUGUGGGGGUGCUUUUAUUUGCUGUAGUAAGUGCUUUUCCUCAGUUCUGGAAUUGUUCCUCGUGCGAUGUAGUUUGCUGGUUGAUCUUCUUUGUGUUAAUAUCAGUAAUUCUAGAUCAUAGUCUAGUGAGCCUCAAGCACAAUUGUUCAAUGUUGAGCGUAAAGAGCAAAUCCCUAGAUGAUGGUUCCGAUGAUGGAGGUGAGGAUUCUUCAGAGUUGGGAUUCCAGGAAUCCUAUUUUGUUGCUGAAUUUUUGUGCUGUAAUGUAUCCUACUUGAAUUCCAAGGACUAGACCGCGGGGUGCUGUGAUGGUGUUGAUGGCUUUGAAAAUUCCUCUCCAGUGGCCAGCGCCUAGAGUUGUGAAUUUAGCUGCAAUAAGAUAUGUUUGUUGCGAGGAGACAAUUAUACUGAAGGUGUAGUUUGGCUGCCGAACAAUUUCGUCUUGUCGGAGAGUGAUAGCGAUGGAUUUUCUCAGCAUUUCUUUGAUUGAUGUCUAGUGGCUGUUGGUUCAAUACAGAUGGUUGAAGAGGUCCUCGAGGAGCCUUCAUGUAUUGAUUUCAAGAUUCACAAUGUUGUAAGAAAUUUUGUGUCGGAGAAGGCAAUUGUUAAGAAAAUCGUUGAAGAUCUUAGAGUUGAGACUUCGCAUUUGUGUGAUGUUCCAGUAGAGGUACUUCAUAGUAUAAUUAUUCUGAGGCUUCUUUCUAAUUUUAGUUUGAGUGAUAGUAUAUUUCGGUUGCUGCAAUCCACAAGGCUUGUGUCUUGUUGGCUAAGAGUGAUCAUGUGAUAGAGGAUAGAGAAAAGACUAAAAUGUGUACCAGUGCUACUAUGACUACGAAGUGGGGGUUAAUGAUUGAGGCUUAUUACUACAAACAGAGGAGUGAGCUAGGUGAUGGAAUUGCUUCUGAUUUUUAAAAUUGGACCUGCUUGAAUGAAAUCAUAUUCAGUCUGGAUCUAAAUUUUUCAAACAACCCGUGCCCCAAUGGUUUGGUAAACAUGUCGGCUAUUUGCUCCAAUAAGGGCACAUAAAUCAAUCUGGUUUUUUCCAGUUCUACUUUUGUUUCUUCCAUUUCUACUUUCUCUCUAGUGUAAUGGUGAUGAGUAGCUAUAUGUUUUGUAGGUGGAUUAAUAUUAGGGUUUUUUGCCAUUUUGACACUAUUUCCAUUGUUGCAAUAGAUUGGCAUUGGUCUUUGUAUUUUUAGUCCAAAGUCCUUUGUGAGCUUUUUCAGCCAAAGCUGAUUCUUUGGUUGCAAUGGUAUAAUCCAUGUAUUCAGCUUUAAAAGAAGAAAGAGCUAUUAUAGGUUGUUUCUUUAAUAGCCAAAUUAUUGUAUUGGCUUCCAACAUAAAUACAAAUUUUGGUAUUGAUCAACCAUCAGAUAUGUCUCUUAUCUAAUUUGUGUCAAUAUAUCUUGAGAAUGUUAUUGCUGAUUUUAUUGAGUAGAGAAUGAUAAUCAAAUGUGUUUGCAAUGUAUCAUAGAAUAUGCUUUGUUGCUAUUAAAUGAAGAACUUGUAGCUUCAUCAUGAAUUUACUCACAAUUCCAAUUAAGUAAGAAAGAUUUGAUUGUGAGUGAGUAAGUUGUAUUAAUUUUCUAACAAUAGAUCUAUAAUAGGUAGAAUCAAUGGUCUCUUCUUGAAUGUCAAUGGUAAAUUUGAGCCUUUCAACUAUUAGAGUGAAAAUUGAUUGACAUCCUUCUAGAUCAAAGUGUCGAAUUACUUAAAGAGCAUAGUUUUGUUGUAUCAUGAAUAGGCCUUGUGGAAUUGUAAUAAUUGCAGCCUUAAAAUAGAGUGUGAGAUUACUCUCUUCUAAUUUUGAUAUUUCAAAUUUUGACUCUAAUUGUGAUUUGAACCAUGUGAUCAAGUUGAUGCAAUUUCCUAUAAAGAAGAAGUUGUCUACAUAAAUGACUAGAAGAGAGCUUUUUUGUUCAUGAUGUAUAACAUAAAGAUUAUCAUCUCCUUCUUUGUUAAUAAAUCCUUAGUUGUAUAGGAAAGAAUCAAUUAUAUCAUAAUAUACUUUUAGUGCUUACUUUAAGCCAUAGCAAGCUUUGUAAAGACAACAAACUCACUAUUCUUGUCUAGGUUUUUCAAAACCUUAAAGUUAUAUAAUACAGACAUCUUUCUUGAGAUCUCUAUAAAGAAAUGCAAUCUUUAUACCUAUCUGAUAGAACUAUCAUUUUUACUAUGCAAAAAGAACUAAUAGCAUACAAGUAGUAUCCCAUUUGACAAUUGGAGCAAAGCUUUCUUUAUAAUCUAAGCCUUUUUGUUGUUCAAAAUUCCAAACUACUAGUCUUGAUUUUUUCUUUUGUAAGAUUCUAUCUGCUUUUAUUUUUGCUUUGUAAACCUAUUUUGUGGAAAUUACAUAAUAUCCAUGUAGAAGAGGAGUAAUUAUCUAAGUCUUAUUUAUAUAAAUGGAUUGAAUUUCUUCAUGCAUGGAGAUUUAGCAUCUCUCAUCCUAAGCUACAUCUUUGAGGAUUGCGGAUUUAAUAAAUAGGUCGAUCAACUAGCAAAAAUAAACUUGAAGCUAUACUAGUUUUAUUUAUAGACAUUGAGAUUGAAUUGAAAGCAUAGAAAUCUCUUAACACUUGAGGCUAUAAUAAUCAGUUGAUUGAUGUAGUUUGGUAAUUUUAAUAUUUUAAGAGUGCAUAUCAUUAGCUGCAUGUAGUAUAUACAAUUUAUCUAUAUUAUUGAAAUCAAUAAUGGAUGAUAUAAAAUUAUCUACCAAAGACUAAAAAAAUUUUGAGUUUUGAUUUAGCACCAAAGUUGGAAUAUUAGUUGAAUUGUCAUUUGACAUUGUUGGAUUGUCUUUCAAAAGUUGUGUUGAAUUGGUCUACAAAAUCAUUUUUAAUUGAUUAUUUGACGCAAGUUGUAGUUGUAAUAUAAUAAUAGAAGUAAUGUUGUGUUGUUGUUUGUCAAUAGCUUUUAGUUCCAAAAAUAUUAAUUUAGAUCAUCAAAGAAAGCACUAUUGCUACCAAAAAGAUUGUUUGUUGGCUUAAGAAACUUUGAUUUGUCAAAAUAGAUAUCUUUUAUAACAAGGAUUUUUUUAUAAUCAUUCACAUAUAUUUGAAAUGCUUUUAAAAUAUUGUCAAGACCACGAUAUAGUCCAAAAGUAGAUCAUGAAUUAAGUUUGUUUUAUUGAAUAUUGUCACAUCUAAUAAAACAAAUAUCUAAAAAUCUUUACAUUACUAAAGUCAAGAUAAUUGUUGGUUAAAACUUCAUGUGGUGUGCAAUUGUUGUUAGAUCUUAUAGGAUUAGAUUUCAUGAUAAACAUUGUAGUAUAGACAACUUCUAUUUAGAUGAAUAAUAGUACAUUGCUGCAUAGUAAUAUGGAUUAUGAUUUAUUUAAAACCGAUCCAUUUUUCUUUUCUAACACUAAUUUUUGUUAGGAUGUAUAGGCAACACUAAAUUACCUUUGAAUGCCAUAGAAUUCAAAAUAUGUUGUGAAUUUUCAAGAAAAAUUCUCAUUCUUUGUCAAAUCUCACAUAGAGAAUCUAAUAGGAGGUUUAUUUUUCUAUUAUAGUACGGAAUUUCUAAAACAUAUCUGAAGCUUUAUCCUUAGUUUCCAUAAAAUAGAUCCAUGAGUAUUUAUUGAAAUCAUUAAUGGUAAUAGCUAAAUUAUAUAAAAUUUUUAGAGAAAUUGAAUAGCUAGAUUAAGAGAUAUAAAUUUCUAAAUUUGAGAAGAAGAAAUCUUUUGCAGAAAAAAUAUAUUUUGAAGAGUUUUACUACUAUAUAAAUAUAUUUUGAGUAGAACAAAUUUUAGACAUAGAAAGUUUCUAUAUCUUUAAUUUUACAAAAUCUAGUACUUCUAUUCAAAAUCUACAUAAAAUAGUAGUCCAAAGUACUUAUGAAUAAAUCAAUAGAUUUUAAAAAAUAGAAUAACUUGACUAAAAUUUUAUCUCAUUCACCUUACAUGGUUAUCUAUACAAACCACCUACUACAAAAUACAAUACACUAGAAUUAAACAAGGUGAGUAAUAAUACUACAAAUCUAUCUUUAGAUCAUCUAUGAUUAUUUAUUGAAAUAGAUCUAUGAAUAUUUAUUAAAAAAAACCAAAAAACAAAAAAAUCAAAAAAUUGCUACUGAUCUUCUAGCAUUGUAGAAAUCCUAGCAAGUGUUCUAAAUCCUAACUUACAAGUACCUAAGUACUAUUUUCUUCAUAUUUCAAAAAUCCAAAACUCAAAUGCCACAAAAUUUAUGCAUAAAGUUUAUUAACAUGAUUACACACAUUCUAAAAACUUUUGAGCCAAAAUCUUGUCAAAUUGCAUAAGAUAUAGCUCAUAAUACAACCACUAGUAAAUCAAGUUACUUACUACCCUUAGAUUGUAAGCGCUAACUUCAACCUCUAAUAUCUCCUUCAUCCAAACUUGGAAUCUAUUGAAUAAUAUGUCAAAAGUGUAACUAAAAAAUUAUUCUUUCCAAUCCUAAUCACCGAUUCUUCAUUACUUUCUACACAUGUGCAUUAUAUCCAAAAGAGUGAUAAUAGGUACAAAAUCAACACCUUAAUUUUGAGUGCCUAUAUUUUUUUCAUAUAAACUUCAAAUUAUACAAAAUUUCCACCAAAACCAUAGCCACAAACCUAAACUUGCUGACCUUAGCCUCCCAAGUUUGAAUGACCUCAAAAGAAUAACCCUAAUCUCCAAUAAGGCUUCGAGCAGCCUCUUUGAAGCCCAUUAGGCAUGAUUUUUGGCCAAUAGGAAUAUAGAUUUUUAUCAUCCAUCUUCAUUCAUCCAUAUAGAUGCCGUAACUACUCUUUUUGCUGCCAAAAUCCUUCUUCAAUGUUUUUUCUUAUAAGAUCUAUAUAAUAUAUGUCCUAAACACCAAAUAAAAGAAACAAAAUAAGACUUCAAAGAUCAUCAAUGUCUAAUAAAGGUGACUUUAAAUAUAUAAAAGUUACUAUAAAUCAAAAUUAAUCUUAAAAGCUACUAUAAAAAAAAAAUUAUAUAAAUUCUAAUAGUAGUUUUUUUAAACAACAUCUUUUUAAAAUAGUGAUCUAACUACAUUCUACAACCAAUUGAAAUCCACUAAUAUGGCUCUUAUCAUGUUACUUAAUAAAUUAUAUAUUAAACAUAUAAAUACAAUAUUUUCACAUGGUAGCCAAACGACAAUACAAUAAUAUUAAAUAGUUACUUGAAAAAAGCCUAAAAGAAUUUGAAUGAAGAAUCCAAUCAUUUUUAGAGUGGCCAAAGAUAUGAAGUUCUAGUGCAUCCAAAAUUUCAUCAUUACCAGGCAGAUUGUGAAAAAAUUUCUCAUCUUGUGUUUCUUCUGUAAAAUUUAGUCUUAGGUUUUGGAUGGAAUUAUUAUUGUCAUGUAUCUAAAGACUAAAGCUCCUUAUUGCUAGAUAGUUUUCAUUCAAGGUAAUACUUUAAUAAAGAAUCAAUGUAGAAGCUCUACAAAAGUACAAUAUGUGGCCUAAUUUUCCACACCAAUAUCAAAUAGUGGUGUUCAUUAUUGAAAAUCCUCUAAUAUUGUGUCAAUGAGAGUUUAUAAAGGUUUGAUAAUUUUAGAUUAAUUUACUUGGUUCUUUAUUAAGACCUACUAUAUAGAUUUCAAAUGUACAUUAUAAGGGCUUUAUGAGAGCUUUGUGAGACCUCCAAAGAGUGGUGUUUAUCUUUAUUAUUUAAAGUUUGCUCCAUAAUUCUUGUAAUAUUGAAAUAACUUUUUUGAAUUAAAUCUAUAAAAAAAAUUUAUUGAACUAUUGAAGAGUCACUUAAAGACUAUAUGUACUAUAAUCUUAUGUGAUUGUAUCUGAUCUAUGGCUUUAAGAUCUUAAAAUAUUUUAUUCACUGAUUGCACAAAGAAGACCAUAUUUUGUUGUUCAUCUAUGUAGAGUUACUUCCAGUGAUUGAAUAUGAUUAUAAUAUUAAAAAUAGUAUUAAUAUUGAAUAUUGUAUUUAGAUAUUUUUAGGCUUAUCUUAAAUUUGUGAUGUUGAUAGUAUUAUAUUGGCAUUUGAAAAUGAGAAAAAUCUAGAGCAUAGCUUUUGUUCUCUAUUUUUGUUUGCAAGAAGUAUUUUUUUUGAUUUUAUCUAAAUCUUAAGAUUCUUUAGUUUUGGCUUGUACAUCAAAUAAUGUGGUUGAGAAUAAAGUUAUAAGUGGCAAUAGUUCAAUCAAAUUUUAGAGAUCUUUCUUGAAGAUACUUUGUAAUACUAUUGACCAAUGCUUAUAAUUGUUUGGACUUGUCAAUAUUGUAUCUUUUAAGCAAAUAUCCUCUAGAUUGUUCAUCUUAUUUUACAAAUGUAUACUACAUAGCUAAAAAAAGAUAUUACCUAAAAUAAUAUAAUAUUAGUUAGAAACUCUAGCUUAUUGGUCAUUGAUAACUAGAAGAAGAAAAUACACAACAAAAAAUAAUGGUGAGCUUCUUUUUUUUAUACUAUGAAGGAAUAAAAUCAAUAAUAUAAAAAAAAUGGUAUACACUUAUAAAAGAAAUAGUGCUUACUUACCUUCAUCUUCUACUUUCAUCCUUAUAAUUUUUUAUAUAUAAAGUCUAUUAAGUUAUUUUACACUAGUUAUAGACCAAAGUUAAAUUCUAAAUAUAAUAAUUCAUUUUGAUAAUAAAUAUAUUAUUUUCAAGCAACUCUUUAUAACUAUUUUAAUAUAAUAUCAAAGCUAUUUUUUCAUAUUACAUAUGUUCUUGCUUGAAAAUGCAUCAGACACCUAGCUAUGAAAGGUAAGUAAAAAUAUAAGAAUAAUACUAUCAAGUCUAAUAGAAUCUUAAAUAAUCUUAAGUAAAUCUUAAUAAUUUUGAUUUAACUUUGAUUAAUUCAAAAUAAAUUUAAAAGAAGUUAUAAAAGAAAUACAAAGAAAUUCCAAAGUAAUUCCAAAGAAAAAUAACAAAAAAUCUUAAAGAAAUAUAAAAAUAAAAAAUUCUAAUAUAACUUUAAUUAAAACCCAAAUUAAAACUUAAUCAAAUUCUAUGUCAAAUCAUAAUAAAAUCCUAAUAAAAUCCUAAAUCCUAAUAAAACCUUAAAAAAAUCUUAAUAAAAUUCUAAUGAAGUUUUAAACCAAAUCCAUAGAAAAUCCUAUUCCUAAACAAAUCCUUGACCAAAUCUUAAGCCCUAAUCAAACUAUAGACAAAUCCUAAACCAAACUCUAUAGCAAAUUUGAACCUCAAGAAUUAAUAAUCAAAUUAUUAAUAUUAAUUCAAAACUUGAAUAUUUCUUAAUAUCUUAGUUAAAAAUAAACAUAAGGAAGAUGAAAUUGAUUGCACUUUCCAAUUGAGAGAAAUGCAAGAUAAUCCAAUCGGGUGUUGAAUGGCUUCUUAUUCCAAUCUAAAUACUAAACUUCCAGUACCAAUAUCUCCUUCUUGAAUCAUUAAAUAACUCUCAAAUUUUAUUUAAAUAUUGGAAAUCGAAUCUAAUAUUGAUAUACAAAUGAAAAUAAAAAACCACUUCAAUUCAAUUGAUAGAUCGCUAAAGAUCUUACAAACACUCAUUAACCCUCAAACUCCAAUUUUUAAGUCCUCAAUCCACAAAAACCUUCACACACUUCAUUCUAAUCAUUUGAUUGAUUUCAAAAUUUGCACACACAUUCACAACUAGUAUACCAAUACAUUGAUCAAAAUUUACUUAUACAUACACCACAAAACUUAAUAAAUCUUCAAAUUUGUAAACAUAUUUUUAUUUUUUAAAAUCUAAACCACUCAAGAAUAUCACCAACUUUGAAAAUUCUUCAAAAAAUCAAUAUUGAUUCAAUUGACAUAAAACUAAUGCUCAAAAAUCUCUCUUCAAGUUUUUUCUCAAAUUCCAUAUUUUGAUCUCUCAAAGAACCCCAAAGUCGCCAUAUGGGCGCAGUUUUUUGCCUCAAGGUCUGAUUUUGAUCCAAGUUGACAACUAGUCCUCUCCGAGUAUCAAUUUUUGGAAAUUUGAAGUAAAUUUUACUUUAUAUUAUUGUUAAUUUUCUCUUAAAUAUGCAUAUGUCAAUUUUUUAUCUUUUUUUAUUUUGAUUUGGCUCAUUUAUGCUUCUACAAAGUAAAUAGAAAUUCUUUCUAUAAAAGAUAAUUUUAAGACUAAAUCUUUACUAUCUUUCUAUUAUUAUCUUUAUUUUUCUACUACAUCUUUCUAUUAAGCUCUUUUAUAAUAACAUCCAUACUUUUAUUUUUCACUAUAUAGUCAUAUUACUACAUGAUACUAUAUUAGAUGUAAAAUAGAUAAAAAAACUUUAUACUAUAAUCAUCAAUUGAUUGAUAAUGGAAGCUACGUAUUUAUUAGAAGUGAAUGAAUAAUAGUAGAUAAAAAAGAAAAAACCUCAAAUUAUGAAGUUAAAAAAAGCAAUAGAUUAAUAGGUACAAAACUUCAAUACAUGAAGACUUAAGAUAAUAAAAAAAUUAAAAUAAAAUAUUUUAUGGAUACUAGUGGUAGAAAAGAGUACUCCAAAAGCAUUUUUGGAACAAAAGCAAUAUAAUACUUAAGAAGGAGAGGCCUGAUUUAAUGAAAAUAGACUUUAUUUGUAAAAAAAAAAAUUUAGAUAUAUAUAUAGACUUAUUUGUAGGAAAGACACCAAUCUUUGUCAAAUAGAUCUUAAAAGUCAAACCAGGUUUAAAUGAUAAAUUUGACAAACUAAAAAUUUGUAUAAUGGCAAGAAGUUUUGAGCAAGAAGAAGGCAUUGACUACUUUGAACAUUUGUUCCUAUUAUUUGUUGAUUGAAAGUCCAAAGCAUUAUAAUAUUUGCUAAAAAAAAAUAAUAAAAACUAUUAUAUUUAGAUAUUUAAAUAUAUUUUUUAAAUAAAAAAAUUAUUGAAGAUGUUUAUAUGAAUGUAUGUCUAAUAUUUGAUAAUAAAGGUAGCAAGAAAAAAGUUUGUAAAAUAUACCACAUCUUAUAUAGAUUACAAGAAGCACAUUGUGUAUAGAAUAAUAGAAUAAAAAGCUUCGUAAAAGAAUAAGCUUUUUAACAAAAUAAAGGAGAUCCAAACAUAUAUUUAAUUAUAUUAAAAAAAAACUAUAUAUUAUAAUUUUUUAUACAUAGAUGAUAUAAUAGUUACCAAAGAUAAUUUAGAUAAUAUUACAAAUUUCAAAUAAAAGUUAAUAAGCACAAUUUAUCUAAUAGACUUAAAAGAUGAUAUGAUUUAUUUUUUUAAAAAAUUAUAUUAUGACAAGAUUAGAAUCUACUUUUACUAAAAAUAAUAUAAAAAUAGAUUUUUCAAAAGAUUAAUCUCAUAAAUUACAAACUAUCAAAAAUAUCUAUAAAUUCAAAAAUAAAAAUUCAAAGAAAAAUUAGAACACUUGUAGUUGAUCCUAUAAUAUAUCAAAACUUAAUUUGAAGAUUAUAAUAUGCCAAUAUAAGUUAUUAGGUGUCAAAGAUAUGAAUCUCAAAAAAAGAGAAUCCUCAAUACACUCUUGUGUCACUAAAGAGAAUUAGAAAGUCACUCCAAAGAUAAUAUAAUAUUAACUAGAAUGGCUAUUGCCAAAGACAAGUAGACUUGAAUGGCAUUGAUAAAAGUGAUGAAAGCUCCAUUCUUGCUUCCAUAUAUACUCUUAACUAGGAGCUAUGUGGCAAUGUCUUAUAGAACCUCCAAAACAUGUUAACUUUGCUAGCCACAUGUCUUAACUUGCAAGUCAAGUUAUCUAUGUAUGUGCCACAUAGUUAGCUUGUUUUACAAGCUACUGUACGAAAGAAACUUAUUCCACAAGCUACCAACACGUGAUUAACUUGUUGGCCAAGUUUCCAACCUACAAACAUAUUUAAAGUCAAACUGGAUCUAUGAAGCUUCUAGGAAGCUUUAUUAAAAGUCUUUAUGAAAUAAAUCUAUAUUUACCUAUUUCUACCUAAUCAUAUAAGUAAUUAUUGAUAUAAAUGUAUAUGUUUGUGAUAUUACCUUCCCUUCUAAGAACAAGUUCCAUGAAGAGCAGUCUUCAUAGGUUGAAAAAGUCUAAGAUGCGGUAAAUUUUAUUUGCCUCAAACUUCAAUCUUUGCUUUCUUUGAAGAUAGUUGAUAGGCCCUCUUAGCCAUUGAUAGUGUUCCAUACCAGGGCAAAAAGACUAUCCUAUUAUUUGGUUGUUGUUGAGACCUUUGUAACUUCUUUUAAUUAAAACAUUUGAAAUACUAUCAAGAGUUGUUCCUAUUUCUAAUAAAAUCACCAAACCGUGGAAGUUUCUUCCAAAGUCAUGAUAUCAAACACAUUAUAUCUUGCCAUCUAAUCAAAGAAGGACAUGUCAUUCUUGAGGAUCUUCAUUUUGAUUUUGUCAUCUUCAAGGUUGCGACAAUUACAAUGUCUUAUCUGGUAAGUUUACAAAUCAAACUCUUGAAUUGAAUCUACUGGUUAUUGAUUCUCCAUCUCUUUAGUGUGACAAAUAUACAUAAGUUAUAAGAAAGAUAGAACGUAGAAUAUUAUCUUCUUUUGAUCUCAUUUCUUUUAUAACAAAAAUUUGCUAUUCUUCAUCUUGGUUUUGAUGGAUUUUAUUGAUGAAAAGCUUCAACUUUUUUUGCUGUAUUUAUAAGAUUCUUUAAUGGCUCCCAUGUGCAUUCACUAAUAACAUAUCCGUGCCAAUGAACAAGAUAUUCUAACCUAUUUUGGUGUCACCUUCAGUCUAAGACUUCUUCGACUUUGAAUUCUUGAUUAUUAUCUACUUCUAUAGAAAGAAGUGGUAUUUAUCUUUUCAAAAUAUUCACUAUCUUAUACGGCUUAAGAAAAGAUACAUGAAAUACAGGGUGGAUCUUCAUAGACUCCAAUAGAUGUAAUUGAUAAGUAACAUGAUUGAUUUGUUGAUAUAUUAAAAAAAGUCCCAGCCUACUAUAGUCCAACUUAUCACAAGGACAAGUAGUCUUGAUAUUGCAAUGAAGUAACCAUACCUUGUCACCUAUGUUGAGUUAUGGUUGCUCCUUGCGAUAGGCAUCUGCAUUGGUCUUUUGCAAUCCUUGAGCUUCUUUUAAUUGUAUCUUCAUUGUUGCAUGUAGCUCUGACAAAUAAUUUGCUAAAUCUCCUACCACAGAAUUAUCAACUUUUGAAAAGUCAAAAGUAUCAAGUCAUGGAUGAUAACCAUAAUUAACUAAGAAAGAUGUUUAUUAAGUGGAAGAAUGUACUAAAUUAUUGUAUUCAAACUCUGCCAAUGGCAAAAAAAUUAUCCGAUCAUCUUGAUGAUAGUUGAUGGUACACCUCAAAUACAGUUAUAAAACUUGAUUUACCCAUUUUUUUUGCCCAUCAUUUUGAAGAUGAAAAGUCAAAGAAAGCUUUAUAUCUAUCUUUAGAAUCUUAAAUAAGAUUUUCUAAAAUCUUGAUAUAAAUUGAGUCCCCCUAUCUGAUAUAAUAUCCUUUGAUAAUCCAUGAUAGUAAUAGAUAUUGUUAAUAAAAAGCUUAGCUAUUUCUUUACCUAAAAUACAUUUUGUACAUAAUACAAAAUAUGUCAUUUUGGUGAAGUGAUCUAUAAUUAAAAAUAUAGAAUUAUAUGAAUUUGAAACUAAGAGAUCGUUGAUAAAAUCCAUAGAAACAAAAGACCAUGGUUGUUCUAGAAUAGGUAAUAGUUAGAACAGUCCAUAAAAUCAAUGGCGAGGAAUUUUGGAUCUUGAACAAGUAUUGCAUGAUUGUAUAAAAUCUUUGAUUGCCUUUUAUAUUUGAGGCCAUCAAAAAUCUCUUGAUAUUAGCUCUAAAGUCUUAUUGUAUCCAAAAUGUCUAGCUAAUGAAAAAUCAUGACAAGCUAGAAGGACAGUAAUCAUGCCUUGCCUUCUAGAAUAUAUAGGCAAUCUUUGAAAUAUAGUAGGUUGUUCUUGAAUUCAAACUUUAAAGAGUCAUAGGACUUAGAAGAAGUAUUCUUGAUAUCAUGAAUGGAAAGAUGAAAAAACAUACUUGAUUGAAUUUUCUUGACAAAGAUUGAAUCAACAAUCAAUGUUGAUUUUAUUACUCAAAGAUGAAAAUGCUCAAACUUCAAGAAGAUCUUUCUUUGUUGAUCAAAAGAUACAUCUCUUUCUUUUGGUGGAAGAUAAGAACGUCUAAAAAAGAUGUCCAAUAGACCUUGUUAUUUUUUUUUUUUAUCGAUAAGUAAUCUUGAAAUUGAAUCUGGAUAAAGACUUGUUCCAAUGAGCUUGACAAUGAUUCAAAACAUGUGCUAACAUGAAGUACUUAAGGUUCUCAUGAUAUGUAUACAUAGUAAUUGGACUUAAGGCACCUUGUAGAUAGUAACAUCAUUCUUGAAAUAAAUCCAUGAUUGCAAUGAGCUCUUUGUCAUGGAUCUCAUAAUUAAUCUCAACUGCUAAAAAUUUCUUCAAAUGGAAAGCUAUUGGAUGGAGUUUGUUAUUUAUUCCUAUUUGUGACAACAUGACAUCUAUCGUAAAGUCUGACGCAUCUGCUUUUACAAAAAAUAUCUUUGAGAAAUCGAUGCAAUGUAAGAUUGGUAUAAAAGACCAUAUAUAACAUAAGGAUUCUAGAUCAAAGAAUGGAGUUAACUCGAUAUUAAAACAACGACUGAAUAUAAGGCAAGAAGGUUCUGGCUAGACCACAAGAAGUGAGUUGUCAAGACUAAAGAUCCCCUCAACUUCAACUCCUAUAUAUAUAUAUAUAUAUAUAUAUUAGGUCCUAUGAAGUUUCUUGAGAAGUUUGUAUGAGGUUUGAAAAUAAAGCAAGCCUAAGAUCCUUCUUCAUCAACUUCUUAAAUCAUCUAAAGCCUCCUAGAACCUUUUAGGACCUCCUAUGACUUUCUAGAACUAUCUUAGAAUCUACUAAAAUCUUUCGAAACCUUUUGAAACCUCCUAAAACCUUGAAGAGCCUUUUUAGAGCCUAUUGGUACCUUUUGGAACCUUCUAGAUCCUUCUAAAAUCUUCUAGAAUCUUUUGAAACCUUCUUCAAUUGUAUGUCUGUGACAUCACCUCUUCUUUUAGCUUCAAGGUCUCUAAGAAGUAAUGUUAUAACAAGCUAGUAUGUGCACCACAAGUUGAAGAUCUAUCGCCUGGUGUUUGUUAUAUAUUCUAGUUGUUUUUUAUAAGAUAAAUGAUUUAUAGGUCCUUAUAUCCAUCAAUAGUACUCCAAACUUUCUAUUUGUGACCAAGUAUAAACUUUGAUAUCUUCAUUAUGGAAUCAUCCUACAAACACUCUUUCUAGAUGUCUUUUAUAGGUAGAUUCUACCUCGAAUAUAAUUACGAGUGACCUAUUACUAGGUAUCUUUUGACAUCUUCAUAAUUCAGGUGGCUCUUCAUCUUGAGAUUAUCUUCGUAAAUUAUUUAGUUGAAAUGGUAUGAUCAGCAAGGCAUCUAUCUCUUGACUAUUCAUAUCAUAUAAAGUAGAUAAGACCAAAAGAAUAUAAGCAAGCUAUGAUUAUGAACUCAAACUAUUGACUUAUAUAAUUCUAAACAUUUGAAAAAAUUAUCUUUUUAGAGGUUGCUUCCUCCCCUUCUUUAUGAGGCCAAAAACUAAGAAUCUUCAUAGUAAAGCCAUCUUAUCAAGCUACUGUUCUUCUUUUUGAAGCUUUUGGUUUAGAUGGAUCUCUUUUAUAGAACCUUUGAACCUUCAUUUGUGCAUUUAUAAGGUUUUCAACUAGUUCCUACAUACAAUCAUUGAUAUCAUAUCUGUGCCAAUGGACUAGAUUUUCAAGCCUUCUAUGUCUUAUUUUUGAAUCUAAUACCUCUUCUACCUCAAAUUCAACAUAAUCAUUGAUUUCAACCAUAGGAAGUGGUGGUUGUCUUUGACCUCGUAUGUUUGAAUCUUUAUACCUUUUUAAAAGUGAAAUAUGAAAGAUUAGACGAAUUUUCAUAGAUGAAGGUAAUUCCAAGUGACAAAUUACGUAAUUAAUUUGUUUUUGAAUCACAAAUGGUCCCAAUCUUUGAUAGUCCAACUUCUUAUAUAGCCUAUUGGUUUUUAUGUUGUGCAAAAGCCAUACUUUGUCACCAACUUGGAAUGGAAGGUGUUCCUCCCUCAAUUCAUCUGCCAAUAGUUUAUAAUGUUGUUGAGUCAUUUCUAGGUAAGUCUUCAUGGUUGCUUGAAGUUUGACCAUCUUCGUAGCAAAUUCCUCAACUGCUAGAUUUACCAACUUUGAGGGUUCUAUCAUAUCCAACUUUUGAUGAUGACUGUAGUUUGAGUAGAAUGAUAUUUACUAUGUAGAUGCAUGGAUUAUGUUGUUAUAUGCAAACUCUAUCAAUGAAAAGUAAGAAAUCUAAUCAUCUUAUUGACAGUUGAUGGUAUACCUCAAAUUUGGCUCAAAGAUUUGGUUGAUCUGUUCCAUUUGGCCAUCAGUUUGAGGGUGGAAGGCAAAAAAAAGGUUGUUGUCAAUCUUAAGAAUCUUGAAAAGUACCUUCCAAAACCUUGAUACAAAUUGUGGCCCAUGAUUUGAUUUAAUAUCAUUUGGCAAUCCGUGGUAAUGAUAGACAUUGUCAAUAAAGAGUCUUCUCAUUUCUUCACUAAUAAUUGACUUCUUGCAAGAUAUAAAAAGUACCAUCUUCGUCAAUCGAUCAACAACUACAAAGAUAGUAUCAAAUGAGUUUAAUGGUGGGAGAUCUAUAAUAAAAUUCAUAGCAAUAGAUGACCAUGGUUGUCUUAGAAUAGGAAGGAAUUGAAGAAAUUCAUAUGGCUGAUGUCGAGGGUUCUUUAACCUUGAAUAAGUAUCACAUGAUAGUAUGAAUUUCUUAACGUCCUUCUAUAUUUUAGGCUACCAAAAGUCUCUAGAUAGAAGUUCUAAGGUCUUAUUGAAUCCAAAAUAUUUGGCUGCAAGGAAAUCAUGGCAUAUUUGAAAAAUGCACAAGCAAGUUGGUUCUUCAGGAAUGAACAAACGUUCUUCAAAGAACAAGAGAUUUUCUUCAUACUUGAAUUUAGAAGACUUUUUAAGAAGGUUGUUGAUAAGAUGCUUGAUAUUAAGAAUAAGAAGGUCCGUAUUUGAAGCUUUACGAACCUGAUUAAGAAAUGAUAAAUCCACAAGCAUUGAUAAUUAGUUGCUCAAAGAUGAAAUAACUCAAGUUUUAACAAGAUUGUUCAUUGUUGAUCAUAUGUUACCUUACUUUCUUUUGCUUCAAGGUAGAAAUGUCUUGAUAAUACAUCUAAUAAUCCUUGUUGGCUCUCAAGUUGAUAUGUGAUGCAAAAGUCAAAUCGUGAUAAAGUUAUACUCCAACGUGCUUGGUGACAGUUCAAUAUUUAGGCUGACAUGAAGUAUUCAAGAUUCUUGUAAUCUAUAUAUAUAGUUACCGGAUGAGAAGAACCUUUAAGAAAGUGGCGCCAUUCUUAGAAAGAAUCUAUGAUAGCAAGUAGCUCAUUAUCAUGGAUUUUAUAAUUAAUUAUUGUCACUGAGAUUUUUUUAGAAUGGAAUUGAAUCGGAUGAAGUUUGCCAUCUUUUCUAUAUUGUGACAAAACUACUUCCAAUCUAAAGUCUGAGGCAAUGGUUUCUAUAAAAUAGGGUUUUUUGAAAUCUAGAUGUAUUAAAAUUGGAAUUAUUUUGAAAGCAUCUUUUAAGCUUUGAAAAGCUUUCUCUACUUCAAGGUCCCAAUUUAGUUUGUCUUUGCAUGUCAAUUGUAUAAAAAGAUCAACAAUCUUAAAGUAAUUCUUAACAAAAAUCCUAUAGAAGUUCGCAAAUCCAAAAAAGCAUUAGACAUCACGUAUAAUUUUUGGCUUUGUCCAAUUGUUGAUUACUUGUACUUUCUUUGGAUCCAUAAAAAGGCCUUUGUUGAAAAUAAUAUAUCCAACAAAUUCGACUUGAGGUGCAUGAAAUACACACUUCUCUAGUUUUUCAUAUAGCCUAGCACUUUGUAGCUUUUUCAGCACAAGGUAGACAUAUUUUUCAUGGUCUUUCAAAUUCUUGGAAAAGAUCAAAAUAUCAUCCAAAUAGAUGACAACAAAGUCAUUGAGAUACUCACAAAAUAUGUCAUUCAUUAAAUGUUGGAAUAUAGGUGGAACAUUGAUAAGUCCAAAAGUUAUGACAUUGUAUUCAAAAUGUCCAUACUUGGUGUAAAAUGUUGUCUUCCAUUCAUCUCUCUCUUUAAUGCAUACCAAGUUAUAUACACCUCGUAGAUCAAUCUUUAUAAAGAUCUUUGCUUGACUAAGUUGAUCAAGAAGUCUGGAUAUCAACAAUAAUAGAUAUCAAUUCUUUACUAUGAUUUUAUUAAGACCACGAUAAUCAACACACAUUCAUAAGGAUCCAUUUUUUCUUUUUAUAAAUAAUAUCGGAGUACCAGCUAGUGACUUGGAAUGUCAAAUAAAAUUCUUAGCCAGAUUUUCUUCAAUUUACUCUUUUAAAGUUGCAAGCUCAUUCUAAGAUAAAUUGUAGAUGUAUCCAAAUGGUGGAUGAGCACCUUCUUAAAGGUCAAUCGUACAAUCAUAAGAGGGAUGCUUUGAUAGGAUAUCCACAUUUUUCUUUUCAAAUAUAUCUACAAAAUCUUUAUACGCCUCUAGAAUUGUUGUUAUAACAACCUAUGAAUUCUCAACUAUACUCUAAAUUAUAAAUUUUAGUUAUUUUCUUAUUUUAUGAUAAUUGAAUAUGUUAUAUUAAGAUUUAUAUAAGUAGAAUUUAGUUUUAUAGAAUUUUUAGGAUUAAAACCCUUGAUAGUAUAAAUUAUAGCCUAAUUCCUUGAAUUAGGUUAAUUAGGACUAAAGUGAUAAGAGUUAAAAAAUUAGAAUAGCAACUUAGUUAGUUUAAUAAUUUAGAGAUUAUUAGUCAUUAAUAUAAGGAUUGACUAAAAGCCUAUGAGUACAUCUAUAAUCAUUCACAUGAUUUAGGAGUUGGAAUUAUAAUUCUCUAAAAGAUUUAGGAAAGUUAGCAAUGAUAAUUUUGGAUUUUCUUCCAAAUUCGACAAAUUCAAGCGAUAUGGUGGUUCUUCUACUUAAUGGGAGUCUUUUUAAUGCAAUGGUGGUAACAAAUUUACCUCGUGGAGUGAAGAAAACAAGAUCAGAAAUCUCUCCUUCAAAAUACAAGAGAAGCAAUGAAAUUCUGAUUUUGAAGAAUUUCACAAAAAUUGCCAAGAUCCUUGUAAGUAAAAACUUCCAUGAAAAUUAUAAUUGAGCAUGGAUUGAGGCAUGUGAGUAGUCGAUCUUAGCUUAAAAAGGUGUUUUGAAUACAAUAGUAAAGUUAGAUUUACAAAAAAAAAUGCUUUCUUGACCACUUACAAGAGCCAUCAGCCUUGAUAACGAGAUUGGCUCUUGAAUGAAUGAAGGCCGUAGAUCUAGUUUAGGGAUCUUAAAAAUCAAGGGUGGAGAUGUAGCCACCCUUUUACGAGCCUCCAUUCAAUUGUAUAAGAGAGGCUUGGUUUUCCAAGCCCUAGUUCUCUCCUCUUUUGGGUGAACGGCAGAGCCAUGCCAAAAUUUGGCCUAAAUCCUAAUCUUAAUUUUAUUUAGAUUUUAAUUCUCAUUUUGAACCUUGUGAUUGUAUAUGUAUGGAUUUUGCAUUGUGAAGGAUGGUCAUUAAGUUUUAAAAUAUGUUUCAUUGAGGUAGAUAUCUCCUCGGCCUUUCAAACACCCCAAGGGUUUCAAGGGCCUUGGAUUUUCUUCAAUCAGUCACUCAAUUUCUUUUUUCUCAAUGUAAGAUUCUGAAUAAUUGUAUCUUUUGCUGUUAGAUUUUUGACAAGAUGAGAUUCGCUUGAUUUGGAGUAAGAAGGAAUUUUUGGUGAAUUUUUGAGUUUGAGGGAGUCGACUGCCUUUGCAGUUUGAAUCAAUCGAGUUUGGAAAGGCAUUUCUCAGUGUUUGGAGAUUGUAUUUAUUUGAAAUUUUAGGAGCAUCAAGCUUUAUAAGCUAAGCUCUGAAAGGCAUAAGUUUUGGUGAAUUUCAAGACAAUCUGAAUUUUUAGUGAAUUUCUAAGUGAAGAGAGUUGGUCUCCACGGUAGUUUGGAUCUUUCAACUUCAAAGGAGGAAUUCUCACGACUGGAUCAUUAGAUUGCAAUGAAGAUUAUUGGAUCAAAAGCGUCUUCAAGUUGGCCUUGCAACAAGCUAAGAAUCAUUCAAAUUGAAGCCAAUUACAAAUUUUGGCAAAUUUAGGAGUAGAAAGGGCUUGCUGCCUUCAAUCCUUACGAGUUGUCAAGGUACCUUUGCUUUCACCUCUCUUACUUUAUUUUUACUAUCAUCUUCACAGUGACUUGUAUCUCUACAUUUCACUUUUUGGCUAAUAAAUUUUAAAUUUAACUUUUAACCUUUAAUAUUCCCACUUUAACUUUUAACUUUUAACUUUAACUUUUAAUUUUAACUUUUAAACUGAACUUUUAAUUUUAAUUUUUUUUAACCUUUAAUCUUAACUUUUAACUUAAUUUUUUUAAACUUAACCUUUUAGUUUUAACUUUUAACUUAACCUUUUAAUCUUAAUUUUUAACUUUAAUUUUUUUUAACUUAACUUUUAACUUAACUUUUAAUUCAAACUUAAGUUUUUAUUCUUAUGGUUAAUUAAUAGUAAUAAUUUAUUUAAUUAUUUUUACUAUGUUUGCAUAGUAAAUUUUAUUUAACAUGUUAAUUUAAUGUUAGUAACCAUUACUUAGAAGGCCUAAAACGAAUUGAAUUUUUAAUAUAAAGAUUUAAAUUAAUCUCAUAAUUACACAAUUGGGAGCUCUCCAAUUCAGCCUCUUGACUUGUUGUAUGGCAUAGGUUUCAUCAAGUGGUGAAAUUUGGCAUCACACAACCACAAGUUCCAAUUGUGGAUUUGCAUAGACAUCAAAUAUAGUACCUUGUUUGGCCACCAUCAUAAAUGUUCUAGCUUUGAUAAAUAAAUAUUAUUUAAGUUUUGGCUUGUCGUGUGCUAGAUGAUUUUUCAUAGAUCUAAGAAUUCCAUGAUCUAUUAGAAGAUAUUUUAACUUUUGUGAUACACAAUCUAUCCUUAGAUUGUAUUUUUCAAGCCAUGAGAGUCUUAAAAUGAUUGAAUUUGAUGGUGAUGUAAUGACAUUGAAUAUUACUUAGGAACUAUGGUUAUUCAAGGUUUGUUCUAAUAGAAUUGUUUCAUGAAUGACAUCUCUAAAGGAUAAAGAUCAACCAUCUAUUACUUCUAUAUGUACGACUUUGGAUUUUUUGACUUUACAAAUUUUGUGUGAUCUUAAAAAUUCUUUGUCAAUAAAACAUGUAGAGGCUUUCAAAUCAAGUAAUGCAUGACAAUCUAGUUUUAUGACUUGUUGUUCUUGUUGCGUUCAAGCUUCAAUAUACCAAAGCAAUUGAAUUAAUAGAGGUGGGUUCGAAUACGGGAAAAGACUGGUUAUAUGAAUUGGGGCUAUUAGUAUUACAAUUGACUGUACUCUGGCUAUUUGAAAUCAAUUAUCAAACUACAAAACACUAAGGCUUACUACUUCCAUCUUGAUUCAACACAUAAUCCAUCUACGAUUAUCAAUUCAAUAAUACUUCUCUUAAUCACAAUUCUUCAUAAGCAAAUAAUAAAAGCAAAGAAAACAAAGAGGUAGCACCAAGCUUACUCCGGCUUAUGACUCUCACAGUCUGGCUCUCGACUUAUGACUCUUACAGUCUAGCUCUCAACUUACGACUCUCAUAGUCUGGCUCUCGGCUUAUGACUCUCACAGUCUAGCUCUCGGCUUAUGACUCUCACAGUUGGCUCUCGGCUUACGACUCUCAUAGUCUAGCUCUCGACUUACGACUCUCACAGUCUGGCUCUCGACCUAUGAUUCUCACAGUUUGGCCUCGAUCUCUCUUUCCUCAACCUAUUUAUCCUACCAAAAAGAUGAUCUGUCAGCCAACGGAUUCCAAAAGUUAUGAUCCUUUGAAUUCUUAACCAUUUAUUCUACUAACUACCUACUAUUACCAACUAAAUUACCUAACCAUAAGUCUAAUUCUCAAGAUUAUCAAUAAUCAACCUGUAACUUAUCACAAAGUUUAUUUACCUAUUCUACAUGAUUCCUAACCAUACAUGUAUAAUAAAACAACAAGAAAGGCUCGUAGAGAGUACAGGACUUUUUUUGAUUUGUGAUAGUGAAGAAUCUACUUGCAUAGUCUAUAUUAAGGCCAGACGCCCUUAUUUUCUUACAACGCUUUUGAUGAUAUGGUUGCACUCCUCAUUUGAUAUGUACAUUGGCAUUUUUGUGAAUAAUUAUUUAUCUUAUGUCUAAGUUUUUUGCAAUACAAGCAUAGGCCAAGUUUUUUUUGAUGCUUUUUUUCGUACUCAGAAAGAGAUUUGAAGCGAACUCCAUCAAUCUACAUAUCUUUUACUUCCAAUUGCUUAUUAGAAUUUUGUAGUAAAGAAGCUACAAAAUAAUUGAUGUAUACAUGUUGCAUAAUUGAAGAACGUUUAUCUUGUCAUUGUUGAAAUAAAUAGUUAUUGCACUUCACAGCUUGAAUAAUGGCUUUAUUGAGUAUUAGAGGAUCUAGCAUAGAUAAUAAUAAGUCCUUGACAUUAUCUCUUAAUUCCCAAUGAAAUUGGUUCAUCAAUGAAUCUUCUCUCCAAUUUAUAUCACAUAUUAAUUAUCAAAAAUCUGAAGCAUACGUUGAUGUAGAGCGGAUUCUUUAUCAAAAGCUUUGAAUUUUAAUUAUUGAAGAACAAAUCUUAUCAUAUUUACCAAAUGCUUUCGCAAAUGCUACCAAUAAUGCUUCAAAAUUGUAUAAUAUAUAAGAAUUCUUUUCAAAUAAUGGAGCAAUCUAGGAUAAAGCUUGAUCUAAAAGUAAGGUUCCAACCAAACCAUUACAAGAAGCUUCAAUGAAAUAUCAUUGAAGUUGAAGCAAGGUGAUUAAUUGUACUUAAUUUACAAAGCCACAAAAUUUUGAGCGGGUGUCAUCGAACGUUUUUGGAAGGCUAAUCUUUAAUUCUUUUGUUGUUAUUGAUGUCAAAUCAUUGCCUUGAGUGGAUGCACCUCCCAUAUUUGAAGUAGACAUAGUUGUUUGAGAAUUUGAAACUUCAAUUGCGAUUUGAUGUGGUGGUUGAGGUACUCCAGCUCCUUGACCAUUAUGUAUGGUCAUAUAUAGUUCUUCAUUUUGCUUCAAAAAAUUCUCUAUUUUAAUCCUCAAUGCUUUAAGAGCAUUAAUAAUAAAAUCUAACUUGAUUUCUUUUAAGUCUGUCAUAUUGACUUUUCUACCUUCUACCAUUUAAAAUCAAAGAAAUACAUGCCUUCAAAAGAAAAAGAAAAUAAAAUUGAUCUAUGAUAUAAAAGAAAAGAAACCAAAAGAAUAUUAAGAAAAGAACAAUAUUAAUCUAAAGGAAGAUAAUCUGCAACCUCUAGAAUGCUAUAGUACUUCUAAAAAGAGAGAUAAUCCACUCUCUAUCAAAAAAGACUAAGCUCCUAAUAUUAUUUUAUGGUGGUCUCGACAAAUUAUUAGAAACCAUAUACAAGACAAGGAUUCUAGACCAAAGAAUAGAAUUAACUCGACAUUAAAACAAUAAUUAGAUAUAAGACAAGAAGUUUCUGGCUAGACCUACAAGAAGUGAAUUGUCAAGACUAAAGAUUCCCUUAGCCUCAACUCCUAUAUAUACUAAGUCCUAGGAAGCUUCUUGAGAAGUUUUUAUGAGGCUUAAAAACAAAGCAAGCCUAAGAUCCUUCUUUAGCAACUUCUUAAAUCAUCUAAAGCCUCCUAGAUCCUUCUAGGACCUCCUAUGACCUUCUAGGACCUCCUAUGACCUUUUAGAACUUUCUUAGAAUCUACUAAAACCUUCUAAAACCUUCUGAAACUUCCUAGAACCUUUAAGAGCCUUCUUAAAGCCUACUGGUACUUUUUGGAACCUUCUUCAAUUGUAUGUCCGUGACAAUUGGUGCUGAAGUAAACUCCUUCUUUAAAGCAUCAAAUGAUGUUUUUGCUUCUUUAUUCCACUCGAGUUUGUCUUUACAAGUCAAAAGUGUAAGUGGAAUUGCAACUUGAAAAUUUUUUUUGAUGAAGAUUUGGUAGUAAUUAGCAAAGCCUAAAAAGCAUUGCACAUCUUAUAUUGUUCUUAGAAUCUUCCAAUCUAUGAUAGUUUGGACCUUCUUAGAAUCCAUCAUAAGGCCUUUGUUGGAAAUGAUGUAUCCUAAAAAGUCAACUUGAGUAGUGUGGAAUAUACACUUUUUUAAUUUGGCAUAUAAUCUUGCAUCUCUAAGUUUCUAUAACACUUGACAAACAUGAAGUUCAUAUUUUUCUGAGUUUUUAGAAUAGAUUAGAAUGUCGUCCAAAUAACAAAUGAUAAAUUCAUCUAAAAAAUCAUGAAAAAUAUCAUUCAUAAGAUAUUAAAAAGCGGUUAGUGCAUUCAUGAGUCCAAUAGUUUAUAUUCAAAAUGUCCAUAUCUAAUUCAAAAAGCAGUCUUCCAUUCAUAUUCUUCUUUAAUACAAACUAAGUUAUAUGGUCCUCAUAGAUCUAUUUUGGUAUAGAUCUUUGUUUGAUUGAGUUGGUCAAGAAAUCAUGUAAUCAAAGGCAAAGGAUACCUAUUCUUGAUGGUGAUCUUAUUUAGUCCUCAAUAAUCCACAUACAUCCACAAAGAUCUAUCUUUCUUCUUCACAAAUAAGAUAGGAGACCCGACUGGGAACUGAGAAUGGCAUAAGAAGUUCUUUGCUAAGUUUUCAUCAAUAUACUCCUUUAAUGUAGCCAAUUCAUUCUACGAUAAGCUAUAGAUUGGUCUAAAUGGUGGUUGAGCUCUUUCUUGUAAAUCAAUUAAAGAAUCAUAAGAUCGAUGCUCUAGAAGAAUAUUUAUAUUCUUUUUUUAAAAAAUAUCUUAAAUUUUUUGAUAUUGGCUAGGAAUACCACUUGACGUCUUUUCACCAUUAGAAAUAGGCAUAGCAUAUAUAGCAAAAGAUGAUCCUUCUUUUGUAGCAUGCAUGAAAGCUCUCACACCUACCAGUAAAGGUUUGGAUGUACUAAACUUUUAUGCUUCUACUUCACUAGCUUGAUCUUAGAUUAUACUACUAGAAAAUUUAAGGUUACAAGAAAUCCAAUCUAUUUGAGGGUUAUAGUUUUUUAGCCACAAUAAUCCUAAAAUAAUCAAAUUAGAAAGAAAUCUUAUUACAUUAAAUACUAUUAUGUUGUUAUGAUCUUUAAUUAUUAUAUCUAAAGGAACAGUCUCAUGAGUAAUAUUUCUAGAAGACAACAAAUAACCAUCUAUGACUUCUAUAUGUACGGAUUUAGUUUUUUUGACUAAAAGAAUUUUUUGAUUUUUGACAAAAUCUUUGUCUAUAAAACAAGCUAAGGCUCCUGAAUCUAAUAAAGCAAAGACUUUGUGAUUUUUUGGUCUUAAACACAGAUCUAUUGUAAAACAAGGUGAGAGGUCUGAGGAGAGAAUAUGACCUUUACAAGGUAUUGCACAUGAUUCUAGCUGCACGGUCCCUAUUGUAGCUAAGAAAACUCGUUUUUUGACACAUUAUCUUCUCUGGUAAUUAUACUCCUCAUUUUAUAAUUGCAUUGCUUCUUUGGACAAUAUUUAGUAGUAUGUUUAGCUUUUCCACAAUAUAAACAUAAAUUCUCUUAGCGACGUUCAGUCUUUUCUUGUUUUGUAAGAGAUUUAAAAUAUAUCGUAUCAAUUUGUAUUGGUUUUAGCCUUGAUGAAUACGUUUCAAAAAACUUAGAAGUUGCCGCUAUUACUUGACUUGUUCCUCUUGAGCCAAGUCUUUGUUCUUGAUGCCUUUCAAAUAAUCAAUUAUUGCAUACAAUGGCUUGAGCAAUAAUUUUUUUUAAAGAUUUUACUUUUGGCAUUGUUAAUAACAAAUCUUUGAUACUGUCUUUCAAUCCAUAUCAAGAUUGAUUGAUAAGUGCUUUAUUAUUCCAGACCGCAUCUCAAUCUAGGUUUUAGAAUUUAGCAGCAUAUGUGGUGGUUGAUUGUGAUCCUUAUUGUAAAGAUAAGAGUUUGAUCUCUGCUACUCGUUUUCAAUCACUUUCUCUGAAUAUGGCCAUAAAUACUUCUAGGAUUGAAUUCAAAUCAUAAAGGAGUUGCAAAUCUUUUUCCAUUAAAGUUGCAAAUCAAGAGAGAGCACUUCCUAAUAGAAGUGUGUCUAUGAAUCCAACUUGAGUAAAUCCAUUAAGAUAUUGGAAAGGGUGCAAACUUAAAUAAAGCUUGAUUUGUUGCAAAAAUCCUCAAAAUUUUGAUCUUGUUCCAUCAAACUUUUCAUGCAUACUAAUCUUUGCUUCUAUCAUACUUAUAAAAUUAAAAUUCUCUGGAUUUGGUUGUAAGGUCAAUCUACUUGCUUCCUUCAAUUACACAACUUCUUACCAUAGACUCUGAAAUUCUUCCAUAGUUGUAGGCAUAGUACCUCCAUGAUUCAUGUUAGAAAUACGUGAAAUUUCUACUCUAAGAGUAUUAACAAGCUUAUGAAGAUCUGCAAUAGUUGCAAAUCUAUUCUCACUUCUACUAGGAUUAGCAUCCAUAAUCUUUCCUUCCAUAGGCAACUCAAACAAAUCCAAAAAAAUUAAAUUAUAGGAGGAUAACCCACAACCUCUAAUAAAAAUUUCUACAAAGAGGGAUAAUCCACUCUCUUUAAAGAAAGAUCAAUGUUAGAAAAUAAGAUUUUUUGUUUAAAAGGUGGAUAGUCUACAACCUUUAAAAUACAACAAUAGAAGUGGAGUAAUUCACUCACUUCUAAAAUAAGUCAAAAAUAAUAUAUUAGCACUCUUAUCAAACUAUCAAGGACAUGAUUCUCAAAGAAAGAGAAUCAUUGAUACACUUUUGUGUUACUAAAGAGAACUAAAAAGUCACUUCAAAUGUAAUAUAAUAUUAAUUAGAAUAGCCAUUGCCAAAAAUAAAAAGACUAAAAAAUCUUGAAACAAGACUAAGGACUAAAAUGACAUUAAUAAGAAUGAAGAAGGCUUCACACUUGCCUCUAUAUAUACUCUAAACUAAGAACUACAUAGCAAUAUCCUAUAGAACCUCCAAAACAUAUUGACUUUGUUAGCCACAUGUCUUAACUUAUAAGGCAAGUUAUCUAUGUAUGCACCACAUAGUUAUCUUGAUCUAUAAGCUAUUAUAUGGAGUAAACUUGUUCCAUAAGCUAUCAACACGUGGUUAACUUAUUGGCUAAGUUUCUAACCUACAAACACAUCUAAAAUCAAAACCGCAUCUAUGAAGCUUCUAAGAAGCUUUACUAAAAGACUUUAUGAAAUUAAUCUAUAUUUACCUACUUCUACCUAAUCAUAAAAGUAAUUAUUGAGGUAAAUGUAUACAUUUAUGACAUAGGGACAUACAAUUUAUAGUUGGACAUAUUUUAUGAUUCAUGUACAAUCUUCAAGUACUUCACAUGAUAGCAUCAAAAACAAAUAUUCAAAUAUCUGAAAAGAAUAAAGAUAUUUUAAAAUAUAUAUUUUAUUAAAGACAUAAAAGAAUUACUCACAUUUACAAAGAAAGAUUAAGUCAAUAAUGUAGACUUUCAAAAAUCAACAUCUGGUAUAUUAUACAAGUUGGAAUCAUCUCUAAUAGUUUGAUUAAAUAUGUUACAAUCUAUAAUUGUUUUUUUUAUUUAAUUGAAGUAAAAUAUUGUAUAUUCUUCAAAUCAACUAUAAACUUUACAUAUUAUAGAAGACUAUUAAAAAAGCUAUAAUUUGAACUAGAUAAAUCAACACAACUAUUAUUUAAUAAUAUGAGUUGUAUCAAAUUAGUAAGAAACCUCGUAAUGCAUCACUAUACCAAAUAUAUUAAAUUGGAUCAUUAUUACAUCUAAAAAAAAUAUCAAAAUAGAAGCAUUGAUAUAAAUUAUAUCUCACCUCAAGCAAAUCAAGUAGACAUUUUUUAUAAAAUCUUUAGAUCCAUUAAUUUUUAUUCAAAAUAGAGAACCAACCAAAUUCAAGAAGUUAUUGACUUAAAUGCAAAUCUUUGCAAUUGUACAAUCUUUUCCUCUAUAAACCAAACAAUGAUUGAGAAGUGCAAUUUUUUGUAAAGACAUAUAUGAAAGAAAGAUAGCAUCACUAAUUAAAUGCAUAUAAAUCUUUUUGCAUCUAGCUUAAUUCUAAAACUUUUGAAGGAUGCUUCUCAAAAUCCAUUUGCCUAUGCUUAAUAUCCAAGCCAAGAUGAAAAGACAUCAACUUAAAAUCCUCUCCAAACUACAUAAAACUUCGAGCCAAAACAUAAAGCUACUUAACAAAGAAAUCCAAAUUCUAAAAUAUUCCAUUAUGUGUUGUAUAAUUCCAACAUUCUAGUUUUUUUAAAAAACUUGAUUUCAAUUCCUUUUAUAACUCUCAUACAAGCUAGUGAAGCCAUCAGCUAUAACAACAAAGUUUGCAACAACAUAUUGGAUAAAUUGUAAUUAACAAGAAAAAUCACCCUUAAAAUAAAAUAAAAUAAAAUCAAUUAGAACUGAGAAUCACAUACAAAAAAUAAAAUAAAAUAAAAUCAAUUAGAGCUGAGCAUCACAUAUAAAAAAUAAUUAUUGCUAACAUCUAUAAAUUAAUACUAUUACAUGGCUAAAGAAACAACAUUCAUCAAGAUCAUCUCUUUUGCUAAUGCCUUUAAAUCUUUAAUUAUUACUUUAAAAACCACUUUGAAAUAAGACAUUUCAAAAUAAAAGAGCAUAGAUUGAAGAAAGGAUAUUGGCAUCAUCAACCUGUCUUGAUGUCAUUUUCCAUGCUUACCCUCAUCUUCUACUUUUAUCUUCAUAAAUUAUUAUAGAUGAAGUUAAUUAAAUUAUUAUAUACUAUUUAUAGCUUAGAAUUAACUUCUAUAUGUAAUGAUUUACUUUGAUGAUAAAUCACUCUCAUUUAUUAACAAUUCUUCAUGGAUACUAUAAUAAUAUAUUCCACAUGUAUUCAAAGAUAUCAAAUAAAAUACCUCCCACUUCACAAAUCCUACUCCAUUCUCAAGUUACAACAUCCAAUAGUUGAAUAUUAAAAAAAAUAGUAUUUAUACUAAGCAUAUUGGCAUUUAUACUUCAUUAGUGCAUUCAAAUCCCAAGAGCCUAGUUGUCUAGGAUUUUAGAUAUCAAUGCUUUCUUAGGCUUUUAAUCGAAUCUAUUUAAAAAUUUUCAUUCUCUUUUCUUAAAAAUAAAUAUAUUCAAAGCUUAGAAUAGAUAAAAGAUAUAUAUAAUCCAUUUAAAUAUUAGAAUCAUGGUUUCAAUUGUAGAAUGCAUAACUAAUAAGUUUUUUUUUUCAUACACUUACAAUAUAUAUACUAAGCAUCUUUAAAAAAAAAUGAGAAAUUACAUAUAUAUUUAAAAAAAAUAAUUAAAAUAAUGAAUUCAUUUUGCAACUAACUUCUAAAAAUUUUAAAAAUAUAAUAAGAAAAAAAUAAAUUCAAAAUAUAAAUAUACUAAUGGCAAUUAUGACUAUUUCCAAUACAAAAAUUUAUCAUUCAUUGUGGUUAUCGUUUUACUUAUUUCGGAAGAAACCUCCCAAAAUAAACCCGCAUAGGGGAAUUCGAACACAAGGAAAGUCCAUAUAUAUGAGCUCCAAUUAUUAGGGUCACACAAUUAACUGCUACGGCUGAAUGCUUACAAUAUCGAAGAACACUUAACUUUUUCUCCUACUGUCCACUCUCUCAUAUCAAUAUGGUAACAAUCACGACAUCAAUUUCAGUACCCUGUGUAAUUCACAAACACACAAACACAACCCAAACCCUAGAACAAACAACUUUCAAUCCAUAGAAUCUGAUCAAGACAAUUCCUUCAAUUACAAUUCCUCUCCACUGAACUUACAAUCUUGUGAUAAACAGUGAUUAGAAACUUUCAUAUAUCAUCAAUCUUUUACAACAAUUGAUAAACAGUGAUCCAUAAACAACUUUGUAAAUCAAACAUUGAUUCAUUAAAUCGAUUCUCUUCACUAGAAUCAACACUAAUACAAAAAAAAUAAGAAACUAAGAAGAAGAAAUAGCACCAAGCUUAUCUCCGGCUCAUCACUAUCGCAGUCUGGUAUUUUCUUCCCCUCUCCCAUCCUCCUUAUACUAUCCCGAGAUACCAAUUCCUAUACUACAGAUGAUAAUUACUUUUCCUCACUAUUCAUCCAUUCUACCUGUUGAACCAUCUUUUCAGUAGUUAUCUAUCCCUGUUUAUAUUAUGUACUAGAUAUCUACAUUCUGAAAAUAACUACUUAUUCUACAUAGCCCCACUCCUAACUGUGUAGUAUCCUCGCAAACACAGUAUUGAUAAAUAAAAACCAAUCUUUUUUUUUUUUUUGUUUUUUUUAUUUAUUUACUUUUUUUAACUAGAUUGUUCAAUCUCUUCGAUUUCUGGCGUUGGCUCCAUUUGGUCUUGUUCCAACACUAUAUCUUCUUCCUCCGACUUGUUCUCAAUCUCUGCCCUUAAUUAAGCUGUUAAAUCUUCAUUAUACGCUCCCAAUUCUCGAAUCUGAGCUUCCAAUUGGAGGAUUCUGGCAUCUUUAGCUUCCAAUUGUUAAUGCUGCUGUUGCAAUUUCUCUUCCGAUUUUCUAAUUCUUACUUCCGUUGAGACAAAUAUCUGUGACUGACUAAUAUUGACUAAAUCACUCUCCAAUUUUAUUAAUGUUUCUUUCAAAACAAAAUUUUUUACAUAUAACUCAUCCGUUUUGUUUCGAUAUUGGUCACCCAAUUAUUUCUUUUCAAGCUCUAAUACCUCCUUCUUCUCUCGUUGCAUCUUCAACUGAGCGUUCAUCUUCUCCUUUUCUAAUCUAUACGAUUUGCAAGUUUUUUGUAAUUCUUAUUUUUGAUUUUUCAGGAUAUGUUGAAUCCUCUGUUUUUCAUUUGAUCAGUUUUCCACUCUCUCAUCUAAUGCAUGCUUCACUCGCAUCUUGGAUUUCGAUUCUACCUUGAUGACUUGUUCAUGUUUCCUGAUUUUGUAAUUUUGCUCCAAUAUUAUUUUCUUGCUCACUUCCACUUACCUUUUUAAGCUACCCUCAUCUUCGAGCUUACUCAUCGUAAGUUGCAGUUGGAAAAUUUGACCCAAUAUAACUUCUUUAAGAUUCCACCCUUCCGUUAUAUCCCGUUGAAAUCCUAAUUAGUUGCUUUCUCUUAGAAUUGGUAUUGGUGUCGUCAUCUCUAUUGUCGGCCAAAUUGGAACUCGCUCUGGUGUAGAUAUUGGUCUUGCUUCCCAUUCUACUACUUUGUUUGAUUCUCCCACUUCAUACACCAUUAUCCCUGGACUAACUAUUCCCGUUUGUAAACUUGAAACUACUGGUUGAGAUUCCUAUUUUAAUGUAUACUCAAUCAUUGAGUUUACAUAAUUGGAACAUAAUAGUGAAGCAAACUUCCCCAUCUUUUUCUUAGCUUCCAUUUUUGCAUAUAUCCUUGUGGCCACAUAAGCUGUCCAAUUGAAUACCAUGCCUUCCAGUAUUCCUAUCGUGAAAAGUAGUAAUUACUUUGCCAUAUAGGUGAUAUGCCAAUUCAAUGCUAUUCGCUUCUGAACGAACCGCAUCCAUUACAUAAGUUCGGGCGUAAGUGCCUCUUGUACCUUUCAUCCUUGAUUUUGCUGAAGAGACGACAUCCCUCUUUUGAAGUAGCUUCCUGGCUUGAAAUCAUUUGAUGUGUCUCCUCCCACCUCAAGCUCUCCGAUUGAUAAAUGCAAGACCUUGUGUAAGAUAUUCUCAUCUAUCCCAAUCAGGACUCCUCUUAUCACUUUCAAAUCAUCCUUUGGAUCAUAAUUUUCUAUAUAUUUUGCAACUUGUUCUACAUCAAUUGGUGGUAGUUUAUCUGAUUCUCACAAAAACGUAAAUAACUGUGCAUUUCUAAAAUUUUUAUGCCUUUUCAAUGACCAACAGAUAUCUAACUUCAUCGGUUCCAUGUUGGUGAUAGCUACAAGAGACGACAAUCCCAGAUCGCACUUAAACCUCAUAUUGCGAUGAUUUUUUGAUCGUUCUGGUGCUCUCUUUGCUCUUUCCAUCGACAUUGUGAAAAUCAAACUCUCAAUACUUCCUUGUGCUAAUACUAUUGCUGAUUAUUAUCGUAAAGCUUACAGUUCAAAGCAUAAUGUCUGAAAUUUAUAAUAAUGAAACCUUCUAUAAGUGCCCUGCUCAUAAUUGCUUACUCGAGGUCAGAAUCAAGAACAUCUAAUCCAAUGUACCUUAUUCUCAUGUCUAAUCAAGAAUGACUAAUUUCCUGACUAGUCAGUUUCAGUAUCCAAAACUAACCAUCAAUCGUUUCCUAACUAUCACAACCUUUCCAAUCCUGUCGGUAAUCAUUAUUACGGAGACUCCCUCCCUCCACUAAGUAAACCUGUUCCGGUGUUAGGAACAAAGUCUUUAGAAUCUUCUAGAGACAAAUUUCUAGAAGCUUCUAGAAGCAAGUCUCUAUAACCUUCUAGAAGCUUCUUAGUUAGUAGAAGAUGUUAGGGACAUAGUCUUUAGAACCUUCUAGAGAUAAGUUUCUAGAACCUUCUAGAAGUAAGUCUCUGGAACCUUCUAGAAGCUUCCUAGUUAGUAGAAGUUGCUUGAGAAGCUUCCUAAAUAGGAGUAUAUAUUAGAAUCGAGGCUAAAGAGUUCUUCAGUUUUGAUAACAUAUCUCUUAGAGCUCUAGCUCACCUCUCUAGUGUUGUUCUCAUCUGAUUAAUCUAGUUCUUGUCAGUUCUUCUUGAACUUCUUGUUAGAUCUCGAGUCUGUAUUUUUGUGUCUAUGACAAUUUGUUGAGACUUCACUCACCUCAGAUAUCAGAGCUUAUUUCUUCCUCGUUAGAGUGUGGAUUACUCCUCUACUUGGAAGUGUACUAGCAUUUUAGAAGUUGUGGAUUAUCCUCCGCUAAAUUGAUACUUCAUUUGUUAUAAUAUUGGAGUCUUAUUCUUCUUAGAGAGAGUGGAUUACUCCUAUUUUUUAAGCUCUUAAAGCAUUUUAGAGGUUGCGGAGUACUCUCCUCUAAACCAUUAUUGUCUUCUUGUAGAGUCGUUUCUAUCUUUCUCUUAGAAUGGCCGGGGGCCAAGACAUUAAUAUGACGAAAAGUUUAGAGUCCAAGUUAGAUGCUAUCAUAAAUGUCCUCGCUACGUUAUCACAAAGAACUGCAGAGAUUGAAGGAGUCAUGGCAAGACUUCAUAAUGAUGCAGUAUCUAAGAUGGCACAAUCUAGGUUGCACCAGCCUCAAACUUCUGCACUUGGAGAAGCAACUUUGCCUCAAGUUCGGCAAGCACUAUUGGUUCUACAACAUAAGGAGCCCCGAGUUAGCCUUUCGGAUAAGUUUGAUGGUACGCAUUCCAAGUUUCGAGGAUUUGUCAAUCAAAUCAGGUUGAUAACAAUUUUAUAGCCCGAAUGCUAUCCAAUGGAGGAAUCACGUGUUGGGCUUGUUGGAACCUUACUUACAAGACAAGCUCUAUCAUGGUUUGCUCCUUUGUUUGAAAAACGAUCGUCCAUACUAAACAACUUUGAAACCUUUUUGGAAGCAUUUGCGGAAGCAUUUGGUGAACACGACAAGGUUCGAUGGACUACAACAAAGAUCCGGUCACUACAAUAAGGGAUGCACUCUACAUCAGUCUAUGCAUUAGAUUUCAGGCAAUUAGCAUGUGACAUCAAUUGGGACGAAGAAGCGUUGAUGAGUCAAUUCUAUUGAGAUUUAAAGGAUGAUGUGAAGGAUUUACUGUUAACUCUUCCUGAUCCGCAAACGCUCAACAAAGCUAUUAGCUAAGCUGUGAAGUACGAUAAUCACCUAUUUCAACGCCACCAAGACUAACGUUCAAGACAACAUAUGGUUCGCCACGCCCCAACUAUGUCGGCAAGCAGCGCAAAUUUACAUUCAGAUGUAGAAGACAUGUAAAUUGAUGUGGUAUGUGUCAAAUCCCUUACUCUAGAAGAAAAAAAGCAGCGUAUAGAGGAAGGUCUAUACUUGUAUUGCAGUAAAGAAGGCCACAAAGUUGGAGACUGCCCCAAGAAGCAAAAUCGAUGUAUUGUCAGGACUAGGGGUGCGUUUAUUCAGGAAAACGAGGAUGCCCAGCCACAACAAGAACUAUGUGGCUGGACAAUGAAAUAUCGCAACAACAACCAGGUUCCUUUCUUUCCGCUUAACCUGCCCUUUGCUUUACAAUCUCUUUAUUUAUUGGCCCUUAGAAACUGAGAAUCUUAGUAUUAUUAGAUUUAAGAGCAUCUGCUUGUUUUUUAGACGAAGAAUUUGCGAAGCGUCAUAAGAUCCCUUUAGUACAAAAAUCCAAACCUGUUCACAUUGAGGUCAUAGAUGGGCGACCUUUAUUAUGUGGUAGUGUCAUCCAUGAAUCAGAACCUAUAGAAGUGAUGUUUAAGGGCCAUAGUAGUCAUAUUAUUUUUAAUAUUAUUAGAAUCCCAUCAAAUCCUAUUAUUCUUGGUCUUUCUUGGUUAAAAAAGCAUAACCCAUCUAUAGAUUGGAGGUUGUGGAAGAUGACCUUUUCCACAAAACCACCUAAGAGCAAGCCUAGUAGAAAACCCUAAAUAGAGAAAUCCUUAUUCAUUGGAGCAAGAGCGUUUAUAAGAUCGUCCAAAGAAGGCACAUUGUAUGUCAUUUAUGCGACUCUAACUACUGCGGAGAAGAUCUCGAUAGUAAGUAUACCAAAGCAAUAUAAGGAUUUUAAAGACGUAUUUCAAAAGAAGAAUGCCGACAUGCUACCGAAACACCGACCAUAUGAUUGUGCCAUAGACUUGCAGGAAGAAGCACAACCACCUUUUGGUCCAAUCUACAAUCUAUCGCAGAUAGAGUUGGCGGAGUUGCAGAAGUACAUCGACGAGAGUCUAACCAAGAACUUCAUUCAUCAUUCAAAAUCGUUAGUUGGAGCACCCAUCUUAUUUGUGAAGAAGAAAGAUGGCUUGUUGCGGAUGUGCGUGGACUAUCGAGGCCUCAACAAGGUAACAAAGAAGAAUCGUUACCUGUUACCCUUGAUUUCUGGUCUCUUAGAAUAACUUGGACAUGCAAGGAUCUUUACAAAAAUUGAUCUAAGGGGAGCUUACAACCUCAUACGAAUCAAGGAAGGAGAUGAGUGGAAGACAGCGUUCUGUACAAGGUAUGGCCAUUUUGAGUAUAAUGUCAUGCCCUUUUGUCUUAUCAAUGCUCAAGCAGUCUUUCAACAUAUGAUGAAUGACAUUUUUCGAGAGCAUCUUGACGAUUUUAUUGUCAUCUAUUUAGAUGAUAUUUUGAUAUUCUCCAAAAACGAGGAAGAGCAUGAAAAGCACGUUCAUUUGGUCUUGGAGAAACUACGCGAGCGAGGACUAUAUGCCAAGUUGGAGAAGUAUUUAUUUUACCAAAUGGAGAUGGAGUUUUUGGGCUUCGUUGUGACUACAAAAGGCUUGAAGAUGGACCUCAAGAAGGUAGAAGCAAUCGUGUCCUGGGAGGUUCUAAAGAUGGUUAGAGACGUACAAUGCUUUCUUGAUUUUGCCAACUUCUAUUGGAUCUUCAUCAAAAAUUAUUCUCAAGUUGCUGCUCCUCUGACUCGGUUGACAUGCAAGGAUAAGCUAGAAUGGAGACUUCUAGCGGAGAAGGCGUUUCAAGCCCUGAAGACUGCAUUUACUAUGGCUCCAAUUUUGGUACAUCCAGACUUUACAAAGUCCUUUUAUUUAGAAAUUGAUACUUCGGAUUUUGCUUUAGGAGCUGUACUUUCACAAAUGGGAGAAGACAAGAAGCUCCAUCUGAUUGCAUUCUAUUCUCGAAAGAUCUCUGCUGCUGAAAUCAAUUAUGAGAUCCAUGAUAAGAAACUUCUUGCUAUAGUGGAUUCUUUCCAAGAAUGGCAUCACUUUCUUGAAGGAGCUGUACACCCAGUGAUCGUAUAUACAGAUCACAAGAAUUUGGAGUAUUUCAUGUCGGCUCGAGUUCUAAAUUGACGUUAAGCUCGAUAGAGUAUGUCGCUAUCUGGGUUCGAUUUUGUUAUCACUUAUUGACCUGAAAAGCAGCAAGGACUAUCUGAUGCCUUAUCGAGGAGAUCGUAUCUUGUAUCAAAGGCUAGAGAAGUAGCGUUUGAUCAACAAUGUACGACGUUAUUGAAGCCAGAGCAAUUUCGGCUUUGUGCUACUAUUGUGCCAAUUGAUGCUGACUUCCUGAAUCAGGUACAUGCCGUAACCAUUGAAGAUUCAGUAGCCAUUGAUAUCAAGCAGCGUGCCAAUGACGACAAGUUCAAGGUGGAGGGAGAUCCUUUAUACUUUGAGGAGUGGUUGUAUAUUCCAAAAAGACCAGUAUGACUCCGAGUUCUUUAAUCUCGCCAUGAUUUUCCAGCUGCGGGAUAUUUUGGAUUCAACAAGACCUUAGAACUUAUUUCUCAAGAUUUUUGGUGGCCCCAAAUGUGGAAGGAUGUGAAAGAUUUUGUCCUCUCCUACGACAUCUGUUCAAGAUCCAAGAAUCCUCGGCAUCACCUUUAUGGAUUCCUACAGCCAUUGCCGAUUCUACAUCGACCAUGGUCUUCAGUUUCCAUGGACUUUAUCAUGGACCUGCCAUCAUCGAACUCAUUUGACAGCAUCUAUGUUGUGGUAGAUCGGCUUACAAAGAUGGCGCACUUUGUCCUUUGCAAAAAGACAUCAUCCAGUGAAGUCACAACAAGGCUCUUUCUGGAUAAUGUGUAUCGAUAUCAUGGACUACCAGAUGAUAUUGUAUCAGAUCGAGGAACCCAGUUCGUAUCAAAGUUUUGGAGAUCUCUCUUUGAGAUACUGAAGGUGGAUAUCAAGCUUUCUUCGGCUUUUCAUCCUCAAACUGACGGCCAAAUGGAACGGUGUCAUGUUAUAACACGUCUAUAUGAUGAAAAUAUAAAUGAAGAAGACUUAUUAAUAUUUAGUCACCUUGGGUGUUAAAAGCGGUGGCCAAUUCCAGUGCAAAUACUGAGAGGCUAGGUUCAGUCACCCCAUUAGUUAGCCAAGGCAUACUCACCAGUAACGGAAUGCUCCGUUCGAUUCCAAUAACGAGAGUCAGCAGAAAGAAAAAGGACCAAUUCAACGACGGGUGAGCCUAGUUUGAAGAGCCAAUUGGAUCCAAUUUCAGAAGACCUCGAAUCCAGAUCCUAUUACGGGCCUCUUAUCCAAUAUGAGACCUGAUUUGGUCGGGCAACCCAAUGUGGUCCGAUUACGGGCUUUGAUUUUGUUUCAGGUUGUUCUGAUUCUUUAUACCGUUCGGAGAACAUCCUUUUGGUAAAAAGAUCUCUUAAAGGUGAAAAUGGGGAGGAGAAAGCUCCGUCAGCUGUUCCAAUUCGAGAAAUCCAAGGCGGAAGAAUAGAAUCUUCUCAGGGUUAAAGGGGAGGAUAGGUUAAGAAAUGAGGAGGGGAGAAUCAAGGUUUUAAGGAUCGGAGAGCUAGCUUCACACUCGAAAAGACAGAGAAUUGGGGGUUUUUUUAUUUUUUCUUCAUAGGAUUUUGGGAAGAUUGAGGCAAUCGUUGCUGAAAGUUAGUGAUAUAUUGGUGAACUGGAUUUUCCGUAAGAGAGAAAAAGGCUAGUACUCUUGAUUGUUGUUGGAAUGGGGGAUACUUCUAUGGUUGAAAUUCAGAGUUGUCUAGAAGGUUGAGUAUGUUGAAUGCAUGCAUGGUUGUAUUAAUCUGAUUGUACGGAUAGAAGAUAUCUGCCAACAGUUUAAAGAGGUUUUGGGAGUUGAAAAAUUGGAGUUUGUUUAGGAUUUCUAUAAUAACUGGGGACCUAUCAACAAGGAUAAGAGGAAUAUCGACGAGCAGCCGAGGAACAUCGGUGCGGAUUGCAGCAUAGCCUCACAAUCUGUAAGCAGGGUUGAACCGAAACUUCUUGAGCAUUUGAAAGGGCUUGCAGAGACACUAGCGAUAGAUGUUUCACAACAAGUCGGAAGGGCAGAUUGAGGAUCACAGCUUGCCGAAGUUCACAGUCUAGGAUUAAGGUAAUUAACGAUAAAGAUAAAAUAAAAAACAUAAAAUAAAUAAAAUAAAAUAAAAAUAACAAAAGAGAUUGAAGUUAUAUAGGGUCUCUAGGCAUUUUUUAUUGGAAUUAAGCUUUUACAUUACAAUCUGAUAUAGAUUGUAUUUGGGUAGUCAAGAACCCGAUAGACUGCUUGAGUACUAGCGAAAUACCAUACUACCUCCUACAGCCAGACACCUGACACAUUCUCAAGCAAGUUAGCACGUAAUAUGACAACGGGUGAACCAAGUCUUGGAACAAUACUUAUGAUGCAGCAUCAACUAUCAACAAGAUGAUUAGACCGCAUAUCUAUCGCUAGCCAAGUUUGCAUGUAACAACACCCUCCAUGCGUCGACUCAAUACACACCAUUCUUUUUCAACUAUGGAUAUCAUUCGAAGCUUGAUUUAUUGAGUCCGUCAACAAAUAACAAUCCAACAGUUGAAGGAUUUGCGAAACAACUAUCAGAGCUUCAAAAUACAUUGAAGCUUCAAUUACAAUCCGCUCAAGAAUCCUACAAGGCGUCUACAAAUAGAUUUCAAAAUCAAGCACCUACUUUCAAAAUUGGAGAUAAAGCAUGGCUUCUUCGAUGGAAUAUCAAGACCAAGCAACCAUGUGAUAAGUUGGACUAUCGAAGAUUGGGACCAUUUAUCAUCCAGAAGCAAAUCAAUCCAGUGGCAUACCGUCUGGAAUUACCGGUUUCUAUGAAGGUACAUCUAGUCUUUCAUGUUUCUCUGUUGCAGCCUUAUUGAGAGUCGUCUUUUCUUGGAAGAGUACAAUGUCCGCCACCUAGUAUUGAGAUCGAGAACCAUGAGGAAUACAAGGUUGAAAAGGUGCUGGAUUCACGGCAAAGGUGGGGCAAAUUGGAGUAUCUUGUUCAUUGGAGCGGCUAUGACAUUAAUGAGUGAACGUGGAAGCCAGCUGAAAAUCUUGCCAAUGCGUCACAAAAGAUACAGGAAUUUUAUCAACAACAUCCUCAUAAAUCUAAGCCGGUUCAAUGAUAGCUUCCUUCUAAAGCUUGCUCACCCAAGAAUAUAAGAAAGGAAGAAAGCAUCACCAAAAUUUGCAGUUGAUGUAGUUAUUUUCUCCAAGAUAAAGUAGAAUUUUUUCAGUAGCCAUAGUUUGGUCUUCUGAUAUGAAUAGCCAAGAGAUAGAUACUAUGCCAAUCAGAUUAUCUCAACCAACUAGCUCACGAAGGCGACCCCAAGAUGAAGAACCGCCUACACCACGACGACGACGGAGGAUACCGAGUAAUCAAUCACUGGUGAUUAUAUUUGAGUUCGAGCCUGCUUAUGAUGGUCAGCCAGAAGGAGUGUUUGCAGGACAAUUUCACAAUGAGGACACGGAAGUUCAUGCUUGGUCAGAAGUUGAAGGAGUGGGCCACUACCUUUGACUUCAAGAGCCGAUGAACCACUUGCCUCAUGAACAACAGUUAGAAUUCAUAGCAGACGUUAUGCGAUAGAUCUUCAUUUUCUUGCAUUGGUAUUUAUUAACAACAACAUUGCUUCUCAGAGACCUUGAAGCUAAAGGAGGGGGUGAUAUUAGGGACAUAGUCCUUAGAAACUUCUAGAGACAAGUUUCUAGAACCUUCUAGAAGCAAGUCUCUAUAAUCUUCUAGAAGCUUCUUAGUUGGUAGAAGAUGUUAGGGACAUAGUCCUUAGAACCUUCUAGAGAUAAGUUUCUAGAACCUUCUAGAAGCAAGUCUCUGAAACCUUCUAGAAGCUUCCUAGUUGGUAGAAGUUGCUUGAGGAGCUUCUUAAAUAGGAGUAUAUAUUGGAAUCAAGGCUGAAGAGUUCUUCAGUCUCGACAACACAUCUCUUGGAGCUCUAGCUCACCUCUCUGGUGUUAGGGACAUAUUCCUUAGAACUUUCUAGAGAAAAGUUUCUAGAACCUUCUAGAAAAUAAGCCUCUGGAACCUUCUAGAAGAGAAGUUUCUAGAAGCUUCUAGAAAGGAAUCCCUUGGAACUUUCUAGAAGCUUCCUAAUUAAUAGAAGUAGCUCGAGAAGUUUCUAGAACCUUUUAGAAAGGAAGCCUCUGGAACCUUCUAGAAGCUUCCUAGUUAAUAGAAGUAGCUCGAGAAGCUUCCUAAGUAGGAGUAUAUAUAGGAAUCGAGGAUGAAGAGUUCUUCAGUCUCGACAACACAUCUCUUGGAGUUCUAGCUCACCUUUCUGGUGUUGUUCUUGUAUUCAUCUGUUUAAUCUAGUUCUGCCACUUCUUCUUAAACUUCUUGUUAGAUUUCAAGUCUGUAUUUUGUGUCCAUGAUAGUUUGUCGAGACUACACUAACUUGAGAUAUCAGAGCUAGUUCUUUCUUAGUAGAGUGUGGAUUACCCCUCUACUUGAAGGUAUACUAGCAUUUUUUAGAGGUUGCGGAUUACCCUCCUCUAAACUGAUACUUCUUCUGUUACAAUAUUGGAGUCUUAUUCUUCUUGGAGAGAGUGGAUUACCCCUCUUCUUGAAAUUCUUAAGACGUUUUAUAGGUUGUGGAUUACCCUCCUAUAAACCAAUAUUGCCUCUUAUAGGGUCAUUUUUGUCCUUCUUUUAGAAUGGCCGGAGGUCAAGACAUUAGUAUGACAAAAAGUUCGGAGUCUAAGUUAGAUGCUAUUAUGAAUGCCCUCGCUACGUUAUCACAAAGAACUGCAGAGAUUGAAGGAAUGGUGGCAAGGCUUCAUAGUGAUGGAGUAUCUGGGAUAGCACAAUCUAAACUACACCAGCCUCAAAUUUUGGCACUUGGAGAAACAACUUUACCUCAGGUUUGACAAGAACCACUAGUUCUAUAACAUAAGGAGCCUCGAGUUAGCCUUCCAGAUAAGUUUGAUGGAAUACGUUCCAAGUUUCGAGGAUUCGUCAAUCAAAUCAGUUUGAUAACAGUUUUACAGUCCAAACGAUAUCUAACAGAGGAGUCACGUGUUGGGCUUGUUGGAACCUUACUUACGGGACAAGCUCUAUCAUGGUUUGCUCCUUUGUUUGAGAAACGAUCAUCCAUAUUAAACAACUUCGAAACCUUUUUGGAAGCAUUUGCGGAAGCAUUUGGUGAACAUGAUAAGGUUCGAUGGGCUACAACAAAGAUCCGGUCGCUACGACAAGGGAUGCGUUCUACAUCAAUCUAUGCUUCGGAUUUCAGGCAAUUAGUAUGCGACAUCAAUUGAGAUGAAGAAGCGUUGAUGAGUCAAUUCUAUUGGGGUUUAAGAGAUGAUGUGAAGGAUUUGCUGUUAACUCUUCCUGAUCCACGAACGCUCAAUGAAGCCAUUAGCCAAGCUGUGAAGUGCGAUAAUCACCUAUUCCAACGUCGCCAAGACCAACGCUCAAGACAACAUACAAUUUGCCAUGCUCCAACUAUGUCGGCAAGCGAUGUGAAUUCGGAUUCAGAGGUGGAAGACAUGCAAAUUGAUGCGGUACGUAUCAAAUCUCUUACUAUAGAAGAAAAAAAGCGACGUAUGGAGGAAAAUUUAUGCUUGUAUUGUGGUGGAGAAGGCCACAAAGUCAAAAACUGCCCCAAAAAGUAAAAUCGAGGCAUAGUCAAGACUAGGGGAGUAUUUGUUCAGGAAAACGAGGAUGUCCAGCCACAGUAGGAACCGUGCGGCUGGACAAUGAAAUAUCCCAACAACAAUCAGGUUCCUUUCUUUCUACCCAACCUGCACUUUGUUUUACAAUCCCUCUGUUUAUCGGCCCUCAAAAACUGAGAACCUUAGCACUACUAGACUUAGGAGCAUCUGCUUAUUUUUUAGACGGAGAAUUUGCAAAGCGUCAUAAGAUCCCUUUAGUACAAAAAUCAAAACCUGUUCAUGUUGAGGUCAUAGAUGGGCGACCUUUAUUGUCUAGUAGCAUCACCCAUGAAUCAAAACCUAUAGAAGUAACGUUUAAAGACUAUAGUAGUCAUAUUAUUUUUAAUAUUAUUAGAACCCCAUCAAAUCCUAAUUUUCUUGGUCUUUCUUGGUUGAAAAAAUAUAAUCCAUUGAUAGAUUGGAGGUUGCGGAAGAUGACUUUUCCCACAAAACCACCCAAGAAAAAACCUAGUAAAAAACCUCGAAAAAAGAAAUCCUUAUUCAUUGGAGCAAGAGCGUUUAUAAGAUCAUCUAAGGAAGGCACUCCAUUUGUCAUUUAUGCGGCUCCAACUACCGAGGAGAAGAUCUCAACAGCAAGUAUACCGAAGCAAUAUAAAGAUUUUGAAGACAUGUUUCAAAAAAAGAACGCCGACAUACUACCGGAACACCGACCAUAUGAUUGUACCAUAGACUUGCAAGGAGCACAACCACCUUUUGGUCCAAUCUACAAUCUAUCGCAAACGGAGUUGGUAGAGUUACGAAAGUACAUCGACAAAAAUCUAGCCAAGAACUUCAUUCGUCAUUCAAAAUCAUCAGCUGGAGCACCCAUCUUAUUUGUGAAGAAAAAAGAUGGAUCAUUACGGAUGUGUGUGGACUAUCGAGGCUUCAACAAGGUAACAAAGAAAAAUCAUUACCCAUUACCCUUGAUUUCUAGUCUCUUAGAACAACUUGGACGUGCGAAGAUCUUUACAAAAAUUGAUCUAAGGGGAGCUUAUAAUCUCAUACGAAUCAAGGAAGGAGAUGAGUGGAAGACAACAUUCCGUACAAGGUAUGGUCAUUUCGAAUAUAAUGUCAUGCCUUUUGGUCUUACCAAUGCUCCAGCGGUUUUCUAACAUAUGAUGAAUGACAUCUUUCGAGAACACCUCGACGAUUUUGUUGUCAUCUACUUGGACGAUAUUCUAAUAUUCUCUAAAAACAAGGAAGAGCAUGAGGAGCAUGUUCGUUUGGUCUUGGAGAAACUACACAAGCGAGGACUAUAUGCCAAAUUAGAAAAGUGUUUAUUUCACCAGACGGAGAUGGAAUUUUUGGGGUUCAUUGCGACUACAGAAGGUUUGAAGAUGGACCCCAAGAAAGUAGAGGCAAUCAUGUCUUGGGAGGUUCCGAAGACUGUUAGAGACGUACAAUGCUUUCUUGGUUUUGCUAACUUCUAUCGGAUCUUCAUCAAGAAUUAUUCUCAAGUUGCUGCUCCUCUCACUCGAUUAACAUGCAAGGAUAAGUUGGAAUGGGGACCUUUGGCGGAGAAGGCGUUUCAAGAUUUGAAGAUAGCAUUUACUAUGGCUCCAAUUUUGGUACAUCCAGACUUUACAAAGGCCUUCUAUUUAGAAACUGAUGCUUCAGAUUUUACUUUGGGAGCUGUGCUUUCACAAAUGAGUGAAGAUAAGAAGCUCCAUCCAGUUGCAUUCUAUUCUCAGAAGUUCUCUGCUGCUGAAAUCAAUUAUGAGAUCCAAGAUAAGGAACUUCUUGCUAUAGUGGAUUCUUUCGAAGAAUGGUGUCACUUUCUUGAAGGAGCUGCACAUCCAGUAACCGUAUAUAUGGAUCACAAGAAUUUAGAGUAUUUCAUGACGGCUCGAGUUUUAAAUCGACGUCAAGCUCGGUGGAAUAUGUCGCUAUCUAGAUUCGAUUUUGUUAUCACUUAUCGACCAAGAAGGCAGCAAGGACUAUCUGAUGCUUUAUCAAGGAGAUCGUAUCUUGCGCCAAAGGCUAGAGAAGCAGCGUUUGAUCAACAAUGUACAACGUUAUUGAAGCCAGAGAGAUUUCAACUUUGUGCUACUAUUGUAUCAUUUGAUGCUGACUUCCUAAACCAGGUACGUGCUAUGACCAUUAAAGAUUCAGUAGCCAUUGAUAUCAAGCAAUGUACCAAUGACGACAAGUUCAAGGUGGAGGGAGAUCUUUUAUACUUUGAAGAGCGAUUGUACAUUCCAAAAGGACUAGCACGACUCCAAGUUCUUCAAUCUCGCCAUGAUUUUCCAGCUGCGGGACAUUUUGGAUUCAACAAGACCUUGGAGCUUAUUUCUCGAGAUUUUUGGUGGCCCCAAAUGUGGAAGGAUGUGAAAGAUUUUUUCCUCUCUUGUGACAUUUGUUCAAGAUCUAAGAAUCCUCGGCAUCGCCCUUAUGGACUUCUACAGCCAUUGCCAAUUCCACGUCGACCAUGGUCUUCAAUUUCUAUGGACUUCAUCACGGACUUGCCAUCAUCAAACUCAUUUGACAGCAUCUUUGUCAUGGUAGAUCGGCUUACGAAGAUGGCACACUUUGUUCCUUAUAAGAAGACAUCGUCCAGUGAAGUCACAACAAGACUCUUUCUCGAUAAUGUGUAUCGAUAUCAUGGACUACCAGAUGAUAUCAUAUCAGAUCGAGGUAUCCAGUUCGUGUCAAAGUUUUGGAGAUCUCUCUUUGGGAUAUUGAAGGUGGAUAUCAAGCUUUCUUCAGCUUUUCAUCCUCAAACUGAUGGCCAAACGGAACGGGUGAACCAAGUCUUGGAGCAGUACUUACGAUGCAGCAUCAACUAUCAGUAAGACGAUUGGACGGCAUAUCUACCGCUAGCCGAGUUUGCAUAUAACAACACCCUCCAUGCGUCGACUCAACAAACACCAUUCUUUUCCAACUAUGGGUAUCAUCCGAAGCUUGAUUUAUUGAGUCCGUCAACAAAUAACAAUCCAGUAGCUGAAGGAUUUGCGAAGCAACUAUCAGAGCUUCAAACUAUGUUGAAGCUUCAAUUACAAUCCGCUCAAGAAUCCUAUAAGACGUCUGCAGAUAGAUUUCGGAAUCCAGCACCUACUUUCAAAGUUGGAGACAAAGCCUGGCUUCUUCGACAAAAUAUCAAGACCAAGCGACCAUGUGAUAAGUUGGACUAUCGAAGAUUGGGACCAUUUAUCAUCCAGAAGCAAAUUAAUCCAGUGGCAUACCGGCUAGAGUUACCGGCUUCUAUGAAGGUACAUCCAGUCUUUCAUGUUUCUCUGUUGGAACCUUAUCGAGAGUCAUCUUUUCCUGGAAGAGUGCAAUGUCCGCCACCUAGUAUUGAAAUCGAGAACCACGAAGAAUACGAGGUUGAAAAGGUAUUGGAUUCACGGCGAAGGUGGAAAAAGUUAGAAUAUCUUGUUCAUUGGUGUGGCUAUGACAUUAAUGAGCGAACGUGGGAGCCAGCUAAAAAUCUUGCGAAUGCGCCACAAAAGGUACAAGAGUUUCAUGAACGACAUCCCGAUAAACCUAAAUCAAUUUGAUGAUAGCUUCUUUUUGAAGCUUAAUCUCUCAACAAUAUAAGAAAAGGGGAGAGCACCAGCAAAAUUCAUAGUUGAUGUAGUUAUUUUCUCCAAGAUAGAUCGUAGUUUGGUCUUUUGAUAUGGAUAGCCAAGAGAUAGAUACUAUGCCAGUCAGAGUAUCGCAAUCGAGUAGCUCAUGAAGGCGACCCCGAGAUGAAGAACUACAUGUACCACGACGACGACGGAGGAUACCGAGUAACCGAUCACUGGUGAUCGUAUUUGAGAUCGAGCCUGCUUACGAUGGUCAACCAGAAGGCGUGUUUGCAGGAUUAUUUCACAAUGAAGACAUGGAAGUUCAUGCUUGGUCAGAAGUCGAAGGCGUGGGCCACUACCGUUGGCUUCAAGGAUCGAUGAACCACUUGUCUCGUGAACAACAGUUGGAGUUCAUAGUAGAAGUUAUGCGACAGAUCUUCAUUUUCUUGCGUUGGUACUGAUCAACAACAUUGCUUCUCAGAGACCUUGAAGCUAAAGGAGGGGGUGAUGUUAGAGACAUAUUCCUUAGAACUUUCUAGAGAGAAGUUUCUAGAACCUUCUAGAAAAUAAGCCUCUGGAACCUUCUAGAAGAGAAGUUUUUAGAAGCUUCUAGAAAGGAAUCCCCUGGAACUUUUUAGAAGCUUCCUAGUUAAUAGAAGUAGUUCGAGAAGUUUCCAGAACCUUCUAGAAAGGAAGCCUCUGGAACCUUCUAGAGCUUUCUAGUUAAUAGAAGUAGCUCGAGAAGCUUCCUAAGUAGGAGUAUAUAUAGGGAUCGAGGAUGAAGAGUUCUUCAGUCUCAACAACACAUCUCUUGGAGUUCUAGCUCACCUUUCUGGUGUUGUUCUUGUACUCAUCUGUUUAAUCUAAUUCUGCCACUUCUUCUUGAACUUCUUGUUAGAUUUCAGGUCUGUAUUUUGUGUCCGUGACAUCUGGUGUUGUUCUUAUCUGAUUAAUCUAGUUCUUGUCAGUUCUUCUUGAACUUCUUGUUAGAUCUCGAGUCUAUAUUUGUGUAUCCAUGACAUCCAGAUUUACGUCUAAUACAGAUGUAACCGAUUCUCAUUAAUGCGCGUUGUGAAUUGAGUUUCCAAAAAAUCUUCCAAUUGAACGAAACCAUUAAGAAAACCUGCCACCACCCGAUAUGGCCCAUGCCAUCGUACUUGAAAUUUACCAAAAAAGUUGUUAAAGUGGCUAUCAUAAAGGAACACCAGAUCAUUGGGCAUAAAAUAUUUCGGCCAUAACUUACUAUCAUAAUAACUCUUUCUACAAUGCUGUGUAACUUCCAUGAUCAAGAAAGCCAUAGCACUAGCUUCAUCUAAUUUCUCCAAUUGGACUAACCUAUAUUGAAGAGAUUCUCUGUCUCCCAGACAUUCAUCCACACAAUUCGUAAACUUUGGACUUCCAAUUCAAUUGGUAGAAUUAUCUCUUGAUCAUAUAUCAAUUGAAAUAGAGUUACUUUCAUAGUAGUUACUUUAUACGUAGUACGGUAUGCACAUAAAGCUGCAAACAAUUUAGUGUCCUAAUUGAUUCCCGCUCUUAAAAUAGUCUUUGUAAAAAUCUUACAUAGGAUACCAUUUGUCUUUUCGAUAUGCCCAUUGGCUAGUGGAUGAUAAGGUGUAGUUUUGCGGUACUUGAUCUCAUACUUCGCUGUUAAUGCUUCAAUUGUGGCAUUAAUAAAAUUUUUGCCACGAUCAUUAACCAAUUCUUUCAGACAGCCAAAACGAGUGAUAAUGUUCUCGUAUAAAAAUAUUACUAUGGUAUAAGUAAUAUCAAUUUUUGUUUCCAUGGCCUCCGCCCAUUUGGAGACAUAAUCAAUGGCUACUAGAAUAUAAUAUUUAUGUCCAUUUUGAGAGGAAGGUGGAAUUGGUCCAACAAAGUCAAUACCCCAUUUUUCGAAUGGUGCCUGUGCCAAAAUUGGUACCAAUGGCAUUCCAAAAGUUCCAAUAGGGUGACCAAUUCGUUGACAAGGCUCACAACGAUGAACAUAUUGGUGUGCAUCUAAAAACAUUGUUGGCCACCAAUAUCCAGCCAUUAAAGCCUUACCUGGUGAUAAACGUAGAUAAUCUUGAAAUGCUUGUAACAUUAUCCGUUGAAAAGUAACUGGGGCAUUACAUAAUCCAAAUGGCAUUACUUUAUAGGCAAAUGUGUCCCAAUCUGUAGUAAAUGUAAUCUUCAAUUCGUCUUCUUCGGCAAUUUUAAUUUGAUUAUAUCCCAAAAAUCCAUCCAAAAAUGAGUAACAUUCAUGUCCGACCACUACGUCCAAAAUAUUAUCUGUAAAUGGUAACGAAAAAUAAUCCUUCUUAGUAGCUAUAUUUAACUUUCAAAAAUCUUGACAUAUCUUGACUUUUCCAUUCUUCUUCAGUACCAUCACAAUUGACGACAUCCAUAAACUAUGCGAAACAGGAUAAAUAAAAUCCACGUCGAGAAGUUUAUCCAAUUCCUCUUUCACUAAAAGUGAAUAUAUUGGAUUAAGUCGGUGUUGUCUUUGACGAACUAGCAUAACACCCUCCUCUAAAAUAAUGUGGUGUUGACACACGUCGACUGAAAUCUUUUUCAAAUUCGCAUACGACCACGCAAAGGUAGAUUUGUGAUGGACAAAAAAAUGUUUCCAAGUAUCUAAUUUUGUACCUAUAAUACUGGCAUAUAUUUUAAUUAGCUGUGGCAUUUCGUUGGUGCCCAGGUUAAUGGAUUGAUACAUAGGAUCUUCAACAACCUCUGAUUUAAUUGUCUUCUCCUGAUCUGAAUAUCUUGUAUUAUUCGACAUAUGAGAACCACCCAAAUUUGGUUCCAAUGUGCUGACUCUAUUGACUGCGAGAUUGUUCAUCUAUUCGACAAUAGCAUGAUCCAAGUUAGUCGCAUCUUCCUGAUGCAGUAAAUAUUCACCGGGACCUCCACAUUGGUAGACUCCUACCUUUACCGUUGAAGUGUUUUGUCCUAUCCCAAAUUGCGGUGAACCUAUAGCAUCGGCAUCUUUCUCAAUCGAUUGACUCUCAUUGUUCGAUAUAAAUUCUAAUUCUGGUAAUUGAGAUUCUCCAUGAUAUUGUACCGGGUACAUCUGUAGAAUAAUCUGGUCUCGGCCUUUUUCAAUUGUCAAUGUACCUCAGCCCCAAUCGUUCUUAGCUUUGGCUUGAUAAAGCGAAGGUCUGCCCAAUAAAAUGAGAUAUGAUAAUGUAGAACUCUGUAAUCAGAAUACAAUAUAAUCAAUUUUGUAUGUCAAUCCUACAAUUAUAAUGGCAAUAUUACGUAAGAUUUCCAUUGGCUUUACCCGACUAUGAUCUACCAUUUGCAAGACCAAUGUCAUAGGUAGCAAUUGCUUUAGAUCCAAGUCCUCUAUUGUAUCCGCGUUCAUUAAAUUCACACUAGAGCCACCAUCGACUUGUACCCCUUGAAUUAAAAUGCCAUCGAUUGAUACAUUGAUUGUUGGUGCUCCCGGAUCUGGGUUUAAGUUAACUCCAUGAAUUUCUUUAGUACGAGAUCUUCAUCGUAUUAGCGCUGAAUUCAAUAUAGAUCGACAUUUUGGUGCUACAGCCAAAAGUUGCUUCAUUGUAAUUGAAGGCUGAAUAACAUCCAAAUCCUUCAGAAUGUCGUAGGAUUCCAUAUUGAAAGUAAUUCCCAAUACUCUUUUGCGUUUCAUUGGUUUCGAUUUUACUCCAUUCGGCAGCAAUUCCUUCUUAGUAAUUGAAAUUGUCGUUGAUAACUUCACCAAUUUUUCUACUACUAAAGGUUCCUUUAAUGCAUAAGAUCUUUUAUUAGAUUGUACAGGUAUUGGUAAUUGAUCAAUUGAGAUCAUUCUUGAUAGUCCCAACAAAUUGGCACGUGGAACCGAAUUGGGUUCCUCAGUCUGUUGAGGUCUCAAUAUUGGAAUACGUCCCAAUACUGAUAUUGAUUCGUUUAGUCCCAUGGACGGUGCUACUUGCUCUCUUGUGAUUGGUUCAUCUAGGUCCUGAAUUGGAUUCUUGUCUUUUUUUUGGCCUCUGGUAAGCAUUGCGUUCACCACCUCAAUAUGAUGUUCUGGUGAGUCUCGUUGAAUAGGACCUUUGUCCUCCGUCGAUUGGCUUGUUUGCAUUUGCUGGUCCCGAUUAUUAUAAUUAAAGGACGUAUUGCACUGUUAAUAAGUAUGACCAGACUGCUUACAAUUUCCACAUAUUAGAGCAUAGUCAUCAUUGGCCCUUAGAUUAGGACAUUCACUCACAUAAUGUCCGAUUUGUCUGCAAUGAUAGCAACAAAGUGGUCUCCUACUAACUCCUUCAGGGAUAUUGGGUGUCUCUAUUGGUAUAUAAUGGCUAGGUCUGUUCCAUAUCGGAUGAGUAAAGGAUCCUAGUUGAUCCAUUGUUACUGUAGACUCUAGCAUUCACUUCAUCAUGGAUAGAUAUUGAUGGUAUCUUGGUUGGUUCAUCGCCAAUCCAUGAGUAUUGGAUACACCUUCUUAGUGAAAUUUAGAGUUUAAGAAAUUAGAAUAAUUUUUGUUUUGUUUAUUCGCUCAAUUUCCAUUCUAGCCAAACCUAUUAUUUGUUUGUACUUGAUUGACAUCCCAAAAAGUUGAUUGAGUCAUUAUUUGGUUACUGAGUUGUUGUUGCUUCCAUAAAUUCUAACAGUUGGUGAUAAUAUGCUUCCCCCACAAAAGGUACAUUAUACAAUCAUUUGGGGUAGUGAAGGACAUUUUGUUACUAAAUGACCUUGCCCCUUACAAUUGCUGCACUAAACAUUGGGAUGCAUAUUAGUUGGUUUAUACCUUUUUUCUUUAUCCUUGGUCAGAUUCACAGCCAAUUCAUCUAUUUUUUUCAUCAAUGUUAACAGCAAUGACUCAUUGGGAUCCCUUGAUACCAAUGCAUUUGGCAAUUUCUUCGUAGAUAUUAGUUUUUGAUAUGCGAAAUAAGGCACAUAACAGUGUGAUGAUGAUGGUGGUACAUCUUGCAAUGGAACGACAUUCACUAUUCCCUGUGGAAUUGUACCAUAAUCAUUCCUUCUCAGAUAACUUUUUGAUGCAUCAUUCCAAUUUGUCAUUUGAUAACCUCCUUGAGAUGGAAUCAUCGUGGCUCCAACUGUUAAGUUCUAGUCAUAGUGACAUUCCUCCCAUACUUUUGCUUACUCAAGAGAUGAUGCAAUGGUGGUUGAUUGGGCCUCUUUUACAAACAUCUUCAAUUCUAGUGGAUGUAGUCCAUUAACCAAUAUGGACAACACAAACGAUUCUGGCAUUUGGUUAUUUGGCCAUUUUUGAAGUAUAUCUGUUAUACGACCAUAAUAUGACUGUACCACUUCCCUUGGUACCAUUUUGCUGUUCAUUAAUUUUUCUCUAAGACGUUCUUCAAAACCAAUUGGUCGAAAAUGGGCUAAAAAUGCAUUUUUCAAUGCCUCCCAAUUGAUAAAUUGUUCUACAUGUUGCUUGUUAUACCACUCAAAUGUUGUGUCUUUUAAUGUCGCUGGCAGCCAUCUUAACCAAAUAUCUUCAGUUCUGCCAUUAUUGGCUACACACAUCGUCAAGAAUUGAGACAAAUGUUGAUCUGGAUCCGCACUUGGCAAACUCCAAAAAGUAAGUAAUGGCGUAACGCUAGUCGUUCAAUCGCCCAUUGCACUCAUUUGAACUGCAAUCGAAACUGCUGGUCCUUCGGACGCCAUUAAAGAUGUCGGUGUUUUACUCAAUUCUUUAUUAAAAUAUAAACUGUCUCCCGUAAAAAUCUUUUUCGGACUUCCAAGCCUUCCCAAUUGACUAUUAUUAUCCCCAAAUAAUUUUACUGGUUGAAUAUGAGGUGAAAAUGAUAGGUUUUGGUAUACUCUGAAUUGGUCUUUAUUGGCAAGUGAUUUGUGUCGAUCUUCAGAACUAGUCUUGUUAGAAUUGGACGUAUCUCCAAUUGGAAAAAUACCCAAUGGAGUACCUAAUUCCUCUGUGCCUUCCUUGCUUUCCAUUAACGGCUUCGAGAGGUAUGCUGGACUAUUAGCAGCGCUCCCCGCGAGUGCUCUUGGUAAUUUCUUUAACAGUAUGUACUUCUGAAAUAUUAGAGGUUGAUCAUCUUCUGGGUAUGAUCGAAUAUGCCGACAAGCAUGCAACCAUGGCUUAAUCCAACUUUUUUGAUGCUUCUUUUUUAAUUUGCGAUCUUGCUCGUUACACAACAAAUUUCUUGUUAGCGAUCUCUCUGUUCUUUUCUUUGAUUGCUUUAUUCUCUUUGUUGUUAAAGAAAGGAUUUUGGAAUCAUCAACCUGUCUUGAUGUCAUUUUCCAUGCUUACCCUUAUCUUCUACUUUUAUCUUCAUAAAUUAUUAUAGAUGAAAUUAAUUAAGUUAUUAUAUACUAUUUAUAGCUUAAAAUUAAUUUCUAUAUGUAAUGAUUUACUUUGAUGAUAAAUCACUCUCAUUUAUUAACAAUUCUUCAUGGAUACUACAAUAAUAUAUCCCACAUGUAUUCAAAGAUAUCAAAUAAAAUACCUCCCACUUCAUAAACCCUAUUCCAUUCUCAAGUUACAACAUCCAAUAGUUGAAUACUAAAAAAAAUAGUAUUUAUACUAAGCAUAUUGGCAUUUAUACUUCAUUAGUGCAUUCAAAUCCUAAGAGCCUAGUUGUCUAGGAUUUUAGAUAUCAAUGCAUCCUUAGGCUUUUAAUCGAAUCUAUUUAAAAAAUUUCAUUCUCUUUUCUUAAAAAUAAAUAUAUUCAAAGCUUAGAAUAGAUAAAAGAUAUAUAUAAUCCAUUUAAAUAUUAGAAUCAUGGUUUCAAUUGUAGAAUGCAUAACUAAUAAGUUUUUUUUUUCAUACACUUACAGUAUAUACACUAAGUAUCUUUAAAAAAAAAAAUGAGAAAUUGCAUAUAUAUUUAAAAAAAUAAUUAAAAUAAUGAAUUCAUUUUGUAACUAACUUCUACAAAUUUUAACAAUAUAAUAAGAAAAAAAUAAAUUUAAAAUAUAAAUAUAAUAAUGAAAAUUAUGACUAUUUCUAAUACAAAAAUUUAUCAUUCAUCAAUACUUAAAAUUUAUAACAAUAUCCCAAAAGAAAAUAUAUAUAUAAAAAAAAAGUUAUUAAAAAAAUUCCACACCUAUUCUAAUCCAUAUGUCCAACAAACAGCCAUUACAUUCUAGACCUGUAAAUAUAUCACAAAAUUUAGACAAUUACAUUUCUAAAUGUGAUAGAAUAUUACAUUAAGUAAUAUUCUAUACUUCAAAUCAUGCUAGAAUAAGAAAAAAUAAUUUAGGUCCAUGAACAAGUCGCUAUUAACAAUAAUCUAUGAAGAUUUUAAAGCCAUUGAAGAUCAUAUUGUUUGUUUUCAAGAUCAAGCAAGUAUCCUUUGGUUUAUUUUAUUUUUAGGAUCAAGAUUAAGUUCCAAAAUUAUUUUUUAAAAAAGAGAUGUAAUCAAGAAUUUGUAAAGUUUACAUUACUAAGGAAUCAAACAAAUAUUUUGUUACUUGUAAGAAACAAAAUAUUUGAUAUUACAAUAUAGAAGAAAAGAAACAAGUUUAUAACUUGUAGGUUAUAAUGAUGCAGAUGGAGUAGAUUGUAUAGAGAUGCACCAUUCAGUAGGAGGUUAUGCAUUUAUAUUUGGCGGGACAAUUAUCACUUGAUUAAAUAAGAAGCAAUAUUUAGUUUUUAUUUUGUCAAUAGAAGUAGAGUAUAUAGCUUUGACUAUUGCAACAAAAGAUGCUUUGUGGCUUUGUAAAGUACUUAAGAAUAUGACAUUCUUAAGUCAAAAAAUAUUCUUAUUUAUGAGGAUAACCAGAAUGUUAUUACUAUUGCCAAGAUUCCAGCACACCUUGGUCGUAUAAACCAUUGGGAUACAAAACAUCAUUUUAUUAAGUAAUGUAUCAAGAAAGGAUAGAUUAAUUUGGAAUAUUGUUCUAUAGAGUAGAUGGCCAUAGACAUCUUCACAAAAUCUUUUUUUAGAGAUAAGUUUCUAGCUUUUAGGAAUAUAUUAGGUCUUAUUUCAGUAAAGAAUCAAGUCCCACUUCCAAAGGAAGAAUGAUGAAUAUUCCAUAUUAUAUAUACCAAAAGUUGUGACUUAUCCAAUUCUUAAUUAAAAUAUUAGAAGUAUCUUUUUCUUGGCUCCCAACAUAUUUUUUUUGCAACAAAUAUUGUCCAUCAUGUUUUCAUAAUACACCAUGUUUUUGUAAUAAUUUUAUUAGAUUUUAUUAACAAUCUUGUUUUCAAUGCUUAUUAUAGUGUUUUAAGAUCUCAGACCAAAAUAUGAGUUAUGUAGAAUCAUUAUAGAUUUCUAAUAAGAGAGAAGGUUCUACAAUUAAAUUGGCUUGUGCAUCAAGUUGUUGCAAUGUUUUAGACAAGAUUCUUAAAAAAACUCCUGGUUUGAAUUCACAUGUGUAUGUGCCAUGGACCAAAUAAAGAAGCUUGUAUUCUUGGUAUCAUUGAAAAUUUAGUAGCCACUAUCAAACAUGGAGAUCAUCUUUAUCCAUCAUGAUUUUUAUUUUGUGCCUAAUUUGUAUUUGUAAGAGAUCAUAUUAAAAUAUCCUAUAGUAUAUAAUAGUAAACAAAUCAUUUCUCAUUUUACAAAUCCCAAUUGUCCAUCCAAGAAGUAUCAUCUAGCAAAAGUAUUCUAAUAAAGAGAUAAUUUAUCCAAGCAUAACAGGAUCAAUUUAUCAUCAGUGCAUCCAUAUAUUUGGAGCUCUAUACUGCAUGCAUUACUCUAUAAUUUUUGGAUAUCAAUACCAUUUUGACAACUCAUUGGAAUUUUAGUUCCUUUAAAGAAUAAUUUCUUUUAAUUUGUUGAACAUAUCACUAAUCAGAUAGUUAUUCAAUUGACAUCAAGAUAGCAAAUGCUAGAUAUGAAAUGCAAGAGAGGUUUUGUUAUAUGCUAGUACAAACAAGUCCAACAACAUAAGGUCAAUUAAAGAUUUAAGAACAAUGACAUGCUAUAGACAAGAAAGAUACUCAUAUUACCUCACUAAAUUUAGAAGCACAACUCAAGCUUGAAUUAAGAAGGUAUAUUAUUUUAAAAUUAAAUAAUCUUUAGCAAAUUAUAUCAAAAAAAUAUGAUGGUAGCAGACACAAUCAAACUUGGAAUAGAAUAGUGUUUAGCUUAAGGCCAUAUAUUUUCAAAAUAUAUACAAAAAAUUAAAAAAAUUAUUACUAAAAUAGUAUGUAUGUUAUUAAUUUUAGAUACUUUAAAAACUUCUAUCCCUUCCUUGCCUGUUAUUCCAAGAGCUUAGAUGACAAGUUAGAAAUGCACAGCUCACAUUCUUGAUGCAUUAAUAUUUAUUCCAAUAUCAAGAAUAUAAAUUUCUAGUAUAAAUGUCAACACAACAUUUGUAUAAUGCUAAUGUUGUCCUAUUUGUGGACUUCAAAUUUCUUGAUGCUUCUCAUCUUGUUUGCAUUAGAGUCCAUAAAUAAGUGAUUGUUAACAAUGAUCUACUAAGAUUUUCAAAGCUAUUGAAGAUCAUGUUGUUUGUUUCCAAGAUCAAGCAAGUAUCCUUUGGUUUAUUCCUUUUUAGAAUCAAGAUUAAGUUGCUAAAUCGUUUUGUGAAAGAAAGACGUAAUCAAGAAUUUGUAAAGUUUUGAGGUAAAAUUAAUAUUAUACAACUAGAUUAUAGUUGGCAUAAACAAAAAACAAUACCAUGUUUUUUUCUUGAAAUUUUAUAUGUUGAUAUUAUAAUUAAACAACUAAAUUAUUUUAUUAUUAACUCCAAUCAAUUCUUAAAUUUAGAUGGUGUAAAUUUUAUGCUAAUAAAAUUCUAUUAUAUAUUUAAAAGAUGGUAAAUAAGAACAUUUUAACAAUAUGCAUAUUGGAAAGGUAUUUUGUAAGUUUGUUUGGCUUGAUCCAAUAAUAAUGAAUGAUUACAAUUAUUAAAUAGAUUCCUUUACCAAAUUUCUUACAAUGUAAUGUGGCUACUAAGUCAAAAUCAAUAAAAACAUUUAAAUGAGAAUAUAUUACAACAUAUUAAUAAAACUUGUUCCAUGUUUCAUUAAAAAAAAAAAAACUUAGAACGUUACAACAAAUACAUGUAUAUAUAUAAAUACAUAUACAUGUUGAAAGUUUACUUGUUUUAUUUAUAUUCUUAUAUUGUCUUUUCUAUUCAUGUUUAGACAUCAUUGUUUAUUCAAAAUUACAACACUUCACCAAAGCAUUGAAUUAACCAUACAUCAAUCAAUAUGCAAAACAUUUCUUAGAUAGUUGAACAUUAGGAACACUUUAGGAGGUACAACUUCCAGUUCUGGCUUUUCUAAGGAAUUUGAACAAAUACAGUAUUCAACUUUGGAACUAGUAAGAGACCACACUCUAAUCCAAAAGUAAUUUUGGACCAUUGUUUUGAUUUUGCAAAUUGCUUCCAUGGAAAUUAUCCACCUGACAAGAACAAAAAAGUUAUGGAAGACUGAAAUUCACUGUAAUCUAUGAUGAUGUUCUUGGCCACAUUAAAUAAUAUAGAACCCAAUAUCAUAAAAUAUUCUUAAAACAAAUUGAUCCAAAAUUGAUCAAAAACUGGACCACACUGAAGAGUGCUUAAGUUAUUAAAAAAUUAGACCAAAAAGACUUAGAAGCGUAACCAAGUUAUUAAAAAAUUAAACCAAAAAGACAAAUUAGUGUGCUCAAGUCUAAAACAAAACCAAAACGCAACAAAAGCCAUCCGUUCAUGAUUUCACGAAGGGUAUAUCACUUUUAGGAAGGAUUCACUUAAUUCAACCACUGAUAAUAAACAGCAGGCUUAGACUAAGUUCUUUCUAAUUGUGUCUCAGUAAGCUAUUUGAAUUGCAAUGAUAAUUCGUGGAGAGUAGGGCACACAGUCGUCACGAAGCUGGCGUAGUUGUGAAGGUGACUUUCAGAUUUCAUGGGGCUGUUCGUCUUGUUUAACAUGGCGUCCAUGGACGAGUUGCCAAUGACGAUGAUUGGCUAUAAUUUCAGUGCCAAAUGCUGCUGGUGACGGUCGUUUCAGAGAUCUGGCAAGUUCCCUUCGGAUUGCUAGCCUCCAGCAUGCUGAAUGGGUUGCUGAAUAUCUACCUGUUCGUAAAAAAGAGACACAGUCUCAGCGAUUCGAUCAGUUGGAAGGUAACCUUUCAACGAAAUACAAGUUAAACACUCGACUGGGACUUGUCGCUCAAACCAACACUCGAAUACCACAAAAGUAUGCCACUACACCCCAGGACUACCGAGUCGAAAUCUUCUCCGCAGCAGAACCAUAACGACACCGCACUUGCCAGAACCACCAAAACCUAUAUCCAUUCAACCCUUCCAGCAACAAAAAGCUCUUCGGAAUACAGCUGCCCCAUCCAAGGUUUGACUGAAACCACAACCACGUAAAACCAAAAGAAACUGCAGCCGGGCAGCUGGACAGCUCAAUCCAAACCAAUACUCAACACUCAUCCUCUUACUCGAUCCCCGACAUUCCCAAACCCCAAUGCAAAUCAUGACUGUUCCUCAUCCAACGCUCCACCGACGCAAUCCAUUUCCCAUCACCUUCGUCGUCAAGUUCCACAAAAAAAAAAAAAAAAAAAAAAAAAAAAAACACGCCGAGAUGAACACCACCACUGCUCUCAAAAACAGCCCCCACAAAGCGCGACAAACUACCACAAACCAUGACUGUGCACGCAACGAAGGUGUCAGGCCCAAUUUAGUGAUUCCUCAUUCGACCAGGGAGGGAAUGAUCUACAAAACAAACAUUGCAGCUAAAAAUAGCACUCCUGCAAACAAUUCUAGCCCCUUCACCGCCCAUCCACAACACACCCACACCGUACCCCACCACUCCUACAACCCCAUAUCCAACAAAACAGCGUCGGGGACUGUUGCAAUCCAAGCCGCGUGCAUAACAAACCCACCACCACAUAACAUCCAGAAGAAACGACGCCAGUUGCUCUAUGUACCUACCCGAACACCAAAGUGCACGCCCUGACAACUCCCCAUCCAAACACUGCACCUUGGUCGCACCCAAAUUCAUCCACUCACACCUUCACCGUCUCAGUGUACACAAGAACACACGUUCUCAUUUCCAAACGUAGCUACACCUCUCAGCCUCCAGCCAAUCACCCGCACCUCUAUAGCGCACCCACCCACAAACACACCAUCCCCGUAUCCUAACCCGACCCCUCCUACUCCAAUCCUACCUAAGCCUCCUCCAGAUCCUCCUCGUACUCUCCCUCCUCCUCUGCGCUCGCGUCCUGGUACUGCUGGUACUCCGACACCAAGUCGUUCAUGUUGCUCUCCGCCUCCGUAAACUCCAUCUCGUCCAUCCCCUCCCCCGUGUACCAAUGCAAAAACGCCUUCCUCCUGAACAUCGCCGUGAACUGCUCGCUCACUCGCCUGAACAUCUCCUGGAUCGACGUCGAGUUCCCGAUGAACGUCGACGACAUCUUCAGCCCCGUCGGCGGAAUGUCGCACACCGACGACUUCACGUUGUUCGGAAUCCACUCCACGAAGUACGACGAGUUCUUGUUCUGCACGUUGAUCAUCUGCUCGUCCACCUCCUUCGUCGACAUCUUCCCCCGGAACAUCGCCGACGCCGUCAGGUACCUCCCGUGCCGCGGGUCCGCCGCGCACAUCAUGUUCUUCGCGUCCCACAUUUGCUGCGUCAGCUCCGGAACCGUCAGCGACCUGUACUGCUGCGAC
Molecule: long non-coding RNA, 74847 nt
Filed under: Physcomitrium patens
Lineage: Eukaryota; Viridiplantae; Streptophyta; Bryopsida; Funariales; Funariaceae
Description: long non-coding RNA (PPAT_LNC004029)
Source: RNAcentral